AAUUUGAGGGGUUAGAGCUCCAUCAUAUACCCCGACUGAAAAACCAGGCGGCUGAUGAUUUGGCAAAGAUAGGUUCCAAGAGAGAAGCCAUCCCCAGCGGUGUGUUCUUGGAGCAUAUCCAUACUCCAUCAGUCAAAGAAGAUCCUUUUACAGAAGAAGCUCCGUAGCCCAAGUGUGCCACAGAUCCGACUGAGGUUGAAGUUCCAGCAGUGGUCGACUUGGUCAUGGAGGCUUUAGUGAUCACUCCCAAUUGGACAGUUCCAUAUAUCGCGUAUAUCCUGAGAAAAGAGCUCCCGGAUGACGAGGAAGAGGCUCGACGGAUCGUCCGCCAAUCCAAAGCCUUUAUUGUGAUCAAAGGGCAGCUAUACAGAGAGAGCGCGACUGGAGUUGGUCAGAAGUGCAUAACGCCAGAAGAAGGUCGAAUAAUCCUUGAUGAUAUCCACUCGGGGACCUGUGGCCAUCAUGCGUCCUCUCGGACCAUCGUGGCCAAAGCAUACCGAGCCGGAUUUUACUGGCCAAGGGCGAAUGAAAUGGCAAAGGAGAUAGUCGACAAGUGUGAGGGAUGUCAAUUUUAUUCAAACAUGUCACACAAGCCUGCAUCAGCUCUGGAGACCAUACCACUCGUCUGGACCUUCGCAGUAUGGGUAUUAGAUAUGGUUGGUCCCUUGAGAACAGGACGAAGCGGUUUCACGCAUGUACUGGUAGCAGUCGACAAGUUCACCAAGUGGAUUGAGGCUAAACCCAUCAAGAACCUUGACGCCGGUACAGCUGUCAGCUUCAUCAGAGAACUAAUAUUCAGAUAUGGAGUCCCACACAACAUCAUCACUGACAAUGGAUCAAACUUCGAUUCGGAGGAAUUCAGGGCGUUCUGCACAUCUCAAGGUACACGAGUCGACUAUGCUUCAGUCACCCAUCCCCAGUCGAAUGGACAAGCGGAGCGGGCCAAUGGCUUGAUCCUCAUAGGGUUGAAACCCCGACUGAUGCGUGACCUCAAGCAUGCGGCUGGAGCAUGGGUCGAUGAACUUCCCUCGGUGUUGUGGGGUAUAAGGACCAUGCCUAACCGGUCGACUCGAAGAACUUCAUUCUUCUUGGUCUAUGGAGCUGAAGCGGUCUUGCCGAGUGAUCUGCUCCACAAUGCUCCUCGAGUCGAGCUCUACACCGAAGCUGAAGCAGAACAAGCGCGGCAGGAUGCAGUCGACCUUUUAGAGGAAGAAAGGGAGAUGGCUUUGAUCCGAUCGACCAUCUACCAACAAGACUUGCGUCGCUUCCACGCCAAAAACGUGAAGAGUCGAGCCUUCCAGGAAGGGGAUUUGGUUCUCCGAGUGGAUCAGCAGAAACCACACAAGCUUGCUCCUUCUUGGGAAGGACCCUUCGUCGUCACCAAGGUUCUUCACAAUGGGGCGUACCGUCUCUACAACGUAGAGCACAACAUCGACGAGCCCCGAGCUUGGAACGCGGAGUUGCUCCGCCCAUUUUACACUUAAGUAUUCACUCGGAUGAGUUGUAAUAAAAGUACUUAUGUAGUUCAUGUUUCGCAAGAUAAUAGUGUCAUAAUUUCCCCAAUGAUUUUUGUCACUUUUAUUUGUUCAGUAAAAUUCCCCCUCAGUGGGUGGCUUAGCUGCGAAUCUGUUUCGCCUAAGUUUGUAAAAAAAUCCUUACCGAGUGGAGAGCCGGCCUCCCACUCGGGGGGCUUAGCUGCGAAUCCGUUUCGCCUAAGUUUCAAUAAAAUCCUACCGAGUGGCGAGCCAGUCUCCCACUCGGGGGCUUAGCUGCAGUCCAAGUACUCGCCUAAGUUCCAAUAAAAUCCUACCGAGUGGCGAGCCAGUCUCCCACUCGGGGGCUUAGCUGCAGUCCAAGUACUCGCCUAAGUUUCAAUAAAAUCCUACCGAGUGGUGAGCCAGUCUCCCACUCGGGGGCUUAGCUGCAGUCCAAGUACUCGCCUAAGUUUCAAUAAAAUCCUACCGAUUGGUGAGCCAGCCUCCCACUCGGGGGCUUAGCUGAAGUCUAAGUGCUCGCCUAAGUUCAAAUUCAAUGUGCGCUUCGCAAGGAGGAUGAGGUGCAGGUCGACUGCUACCCUCUCCUCCGAGCUUCGCCACAAGUACAACAUGCGCUCGCAAGGAGGACGAGGUGCAGGUCGACUGCUACCCUCUCCUCCGAGCUACGCCACAAGUACAAUGUGCGCUCGCAAGUAGGACGAAGUGCAGGUCGACUGCUACCCUUUCCUUCGAGCUACGUCACAAGUACAAUGUGCGCUCCGCAAGGAGGACGAGGUGCAAGUCGACUGUUACCCUCUCCUCCGAGCUACGCCACAAGUGUAAUGCGUUCUCCAUAAGAAAGACGCCGUAAAAAUCCUACUGAGUGGAGAGCAGACCUCCCACUCGGGGGGCUUAGCUGCAGCCCAGUACUCGCCUAAGUUUUGAAAAUCCUACCGAGUGGAGAGUAGACCUCCCACUCGGGGGGCUUAGCUACAGCCCAGUGCUCGCCUAAGUUUUGAAAAUCCUACCGAGUGGAGAGCAGACCUCCCACUCGGGGGCUUAGCUGCAGCCCAGUGCCCGCCUAAGUUUUGAAAAUCCUACCGAGUGGAGAGCAGACCUCCCACUCGGGGGCUUAGCUGCAGCCCAGUGCUCGCCUAAGUUUUGAAAAUCCUACCAAGUGGAGAGCAGACCUCCCACUCGGGGGUUUAGCUGCAGCCCAGUGCUCGCCUAAGUUUUGAAAAUCCUACCGAGUGGAGAGCAGACCUCCCACUCGGAGGCUUAGCUGCAGCCCAGUGCCUGCCUAAGUGAAUUGGGGAACAAGUCGAUUGCAAUAAGCACCUCGCUUUAACCUGCAAAAGAUACCUCAAACAAAUGCAAGUAUAUUUAAAACGUCGAAUCCAAAUUCGGAUAACACCUAACGGAACCGAAAGUGCUAAGGCGCUAAGCCUGUUAAGGUUUGUCGGUUACAAAAAUCACUCGGCAUACCGAGGCAAAUUUAAAGUGUUGAGCUCAAGAAGUUUUUUACCCCUCCUAUGGAGGGCUGGAAGGUGCAACAAACUCGUCAAGGUCGAUUCCAUCAGCAAUCCGAGUGGCAGCAGCGAUGAAGGUCUCCAUGAAAGACCGGAAAUCAUGCUUCUUGGUGUUAGCCACCCGAAGGGCCGCCAACUUAUCUUCUCGUGCAUCCUUGCAAUGGACUCGGGCCAGAGAUAGAGCAACAUCUGCACCACACCUGGCAGAAGACUUCUUCCACUCCUGCACUCGACUUGGGACCGCGUUCAGUCGAGUCAUAAAAGACUCGAGGUCGUUCUGGAGCGUCUCUCUAGGCCAGAGUGUGGCGUCAAUGCGAGAAGUGGCGACCUUCAGCCUUGCGAGAUAGUCGACGACGGCAGCGACAUGAGAUUCGAGCCGGAGCACAUUCAUGGCAGCUUCAUCCUUCACAGGAGAGUUGAUGGGGUCCAAGUUUACUUCCAGUCGGCCAGUUUCCUCUUCAAAGUUCUGACAAAAUUCUGCAAGCACAACCACCGAGUCAAGGCAACAGUCGAAUGGAAAGAUCACAGUUGAAAUACCUGUUUAGUGCAAAAGAUUACCUUCGAGCAUGAGGAAUAGCUUCUUGGCGAGUCCACCCAGAUAGGCCUCCAGAUCGUUCUUCUUCCCCACCAACUCACUGGCCUUGUCACUCAGGGCAAUCUUAUCACUUUUCAGUUGACUGACCUCUUUGUUGGCAGCAUCAAGAGCAGCUUUCAGAUUGGUGUUUUCUUCUUCAAGCUUGGUGACCGAAGCCAACUUCUCGUCUGUGAGCUUGGUCUUCUCUAAAGCUGUUUUUUGCAUCUCAGCCAACUCAAGGUCUUUCUUCUUCUGAGCAUCCUUCACUUUGCCUGCAAAGUUACAACAAGGUCAGACUUUGAAACAAAUGAGGGGCAAAGGCAGUCAUCAAAAGCCUCACCAAACAUACCUUUGGCUUCCUCCUUCGCCUUCGCUAAAUUCUCCUGGACCAGCUUCAGAUCAAGCUCGAGCUGGAUGUGUUUGUUCUCCAACUCAGUGUAAUGAGCCGCAAGGUCGCAGGAUUUCUACGAAGAACCAAUCGACAGUUGUCAAAGACAAUUCACUUUCGAGUGACUAAGGAAAAAUCAUACGUUUCUAAGACUACGGCCGAAUGCAAACAUUUGACCAUAGUCUCGGGGACUACACCUAGUGGGUGCACUCAGCGUGCCCCCACUAGUUCUAUCAAGUCAGAGUCGACCAGUCGACCAACACAAAAAAAAUGGGGGAUGUUCUUCAGACUGUAGUCCAUUGCCAGCAAUCGACCACAGUCUCGGGGACUACACCUAGUGGGUGCACUCAGCGUGCCCCCACCGGUCUGGAAAUCCAUUCGACCUAGUCGAAUGAAGGAAAAACUUAAACUAUAAAGACUAUGGUCGACUGCCAGUAGUCCACCAUAGCCUUGGGGACUACACCCAGUGGGUGCACUCAGCGUGCCCCCACUAAACCAGAAUUCCAAUCGACACACCCAGUGGGUGUAGGACAAUCACUAUGAAUUUCAGAAAGAAGAAUUUUCAGAUAUCAUAUCCUAACAGAACAGGCGGUGACCGACUGACCUGAACGUUACUCUGAAGAGCUGAACUGGCGUCAUAGGCGGACUGGAUAGCUUCUCGGAUGGCCUUCACUUGCUCCAUCAUGACUCCCGCCUGGCGUAUUGCUUCUUUCGCAGCACUGGCUUGGUCCUCUGGGACGAAGUGGGUCGAGAAAAGUGACGGCUGUGCAGCACUCGAUGAUGAGGGGCGAGCACUCGUCAACGGCACCGCAAAAGAUACGGUAGGUCGAGUGAUGUUCUCUCCCUCCGCAACCAGUGUCUCGGGUGCUGGCACGUCUUGAGUCGCCUUGCCAGCAGACGCUUUCCUGCUCCUCCUGUGCCUCAGUGGUUCCUCAUCGUCGUCGUCAGGAAGGGUAAUAACGACAUUAGACGGGGCUACAGAAAAGAAUCAAAAUUAGAGACAAAGAGCCAAUCGACUGAAGACAGAAUUAUGAAAGUCAUACCAGGUUUUGAAGUGGCAGCGUCUUCCAUCUCAUGAUCUUCAGCCCUGGCCGAGGUAUCAGAAGUAGCAGCGCUGCAGUACCAGAAGUCAGUCGGUUGAUUCAUGAGUCGACCAAAAAUAAGUUCAUGUGGAACAGAAAAACUCAAGUAGCAUCAUUACCCUGAGAUAGUGGGGAUCACCAUCUUCAUCUUCGGCAAGACCUUCGCCGGCUUCGACGGCGCCACUCUGGAUUGCUUCGGAGCUUUCUCAGUCGGCACCGGAGAAGUGGUUCGAGGGCGCUUGGUCGACUGAGCGACAGUCGCGACCCCCUUACCACGCUCGGUCGCAGGGUCAUGAACGAGCUUCGAGCGUCUUUCUGAUCGAGGUGGUGCAACUUCCUCCUCCUCCUCCUCUUCUUCCUCCUCACCAGUCAUGACCUUCAUCAUCAUCGGCAGCAUCCGAAUCCCACUCCUCUUGGCUUUCGCCCCCACUUCCUUCCUCCUCCUCAGUCGGCGUCUGUGCUCCAUUGGGCAUCGAGUAUAGUUCAGUGGUGGCCUGACGGACAACAAAGCAAAGAUCAAUCGACCAGUUUGCAGCAAAAGCAGAAUGAGUAUAGCAAGAUUACAAUUGAGGAUAAAGUGGGCGUACCGUGUCUGGAGUGUAGGAAUGGUCGAGUGGUGGAAUCCUCCUGGCUCCUCGAGGGUUGUCCUUAUUCCCUGUGAUCGCGGCCAUCCACCUCUCCAGUGUGGCAUCGUCGAUUGCUUCUGGAUGGACCAGAGUUUCAUCCUCGGUUCCACAGUACAGCCACAUCGGGUGGCCUUGGUACUGAAGUGGUUGGAUGCGCCGCCUAAGAAAGACCUCCAGAAGGUCCAUACCCGUCACUCCUUCCCGAACUAGCUGGACUACACGCUCCAUCAACAUUCUUACUUGGGCUUUCUCCUCAGGGAGCACCUUCAGAGAAGAGGGCUUGUUCACUCGGUCCAUAGAAAACGGAGGGAGACCAGUCGACUGCCCCGGCGUCGACUCGUCUUGGCAGUAGAACCAAGUCGACUGCCAUCCUCUGACCGACUCAGGAAGGGUCAUGGCCGGAAAAGUACUCUUGCUCCUCAUCUGAAUCCCAAGACCCCCACACAUCUGAAUAACCUUAGUCCUAUCAUCAUUCGGACUCGCCUUUUUCACUGUCUGUGAGCGACAGGUGAAUAUGUGCUUAAAGAGACCCCAGUGCGGUCGACAACCCAGGAAGUUCUCACACAUGGACACGAAGGCAGCAAGGUAGGCGAUGGAAUUCGGACUGAAAUGGUGGAGUUGCGCCCCAAAGAAAUUCAAGAACCCACGGAAGAAAACACUCGGAGGCAGGGAGAACCCACGGUCGACGUGAGUAGCUAGAAGAACGCACUCACCCUCCUGCGGCUGCGAUUGCCACUCGUUCCCCGGGAGCCUCGCCGCCCCGUGAGGAAUCAAGCCCUCAUUGGCCAUCUCAUUGAGAUCCGUCUCGGUGAUGGUCGAGCGGAUCCAAUCCCCUUGGACCCAGCCUUGCGGAAGGCGGGACCUUGACGAAGAUCCGCCCCGACUGGACGCUCUCCCUUUCGCCUUCCCCGUCGUCGUCGCCUUCUUCGCGCGCUCCAAAGCCGCCGUCUUCUCCUUCACCAUUGUCGCCGACGAAGCGCACGAGGAGUGGAUGGGCGGGGGCGAGAGCAGGCACGGCGGGCGGAGAUGGAGAGGGCAGAAGGGGGAAUAGGGGGAUACUGUUCAAAAACCCUCGCCUGGCGCCUUUUAUAAGGACGCUUCUGAGUGGCUGACGAGUGGGCCCGGACGAUCCUAUCAUAUCCCGAAACAGUCGCACGCACGCGAUAUGUGGCGAAAAAGGCGGCGCGGAAAUCGAGGCGUCUAUGCCCUAUCCCAUCCGAGUGUCGCGGUCUUCCCCGCUUCGCGCGCUUCCCAAAAUUCGGAUCCCACAAAAUCCACUAACAGCAGAUCAAUCUGUCAGACGGAAGAUUUCCUAUGAUCCGUCGCUCGGAAGAUUACUAAGUUCAAAAGUUCACUCGACAUAAGAAAGGAAUGGAUCAAGGCGACUGAAACAAAAGUUGCUGCAUCAACAAAAAGAUUAUUGGUCCAAGAUGAGACAUGUUCAAAACACAAAAACAGGUCGGAAAUAUUAUCAACUCCUUCCUCGCUCAAACCUCGAUCCAUUCGGGGGCUAAUGAUGAAGUCAUGUACCUAGGGUAGGGUCAUAGGCUUGUCUAAAGUACCCUUCCCAAGGACACCCUCAGAAGAAACUGCCUUCCAGUCGACUAAGAGAGACUUCACUCGACGGUCUCGAAGGACUCGACCAUGAAGACUCACUCGACCACCAGGAGAUCAAGAGCCACUCUGCAUCCAAACGGUCUGUAAUUAAGUAGUCUUUACGGCAUUUAGGACACUUUAUGUAAAGCGUUACCAGUAACGCCUAGCCUUAAUGUACUUUAAACCCUGCAUGACUGAGGGCCGGAGGGGUCUGGCAGACACUAUAUAAGCCACCCCCCUCCUCAGUGUAAAGGAUUCGCACCCCUGUAAUCUAUUCACACAUAAUCCAGUCGACCGCCUCCGGGCUCCGAGAUGUAGGGCUGUUACUUCCUCCGAGAAGGGCCUGAACUCGUACAUCCCUUGUCUUCACAACUGCUCCAUAGCUAAGAUCUUGCCUCUCCAUACCUACCCCCCAUUCUACUGUCAGACUUAGAACCACGACACCCGGGGCCAUAGGUUUCACUAGUGGCUUCUCUCAAGAUAGCAAAUAUUACGGUGGGUGAACAAAUUACUGCCGAGCAAUUGAUAGAAGAGUGCAUAAUUAUGAUGAUAUCUAAGGCAAUGAUCAUGAACAUAGGCAUCACGUCCGUGUCAAGUAGACCAAAAUGAUUCUGCAUCUACUACUAUUACUCCACACACCGACCGCUAUCCAGCAUGCAUCUAGAGUAUUAAGUUCAUAAAGAAUGGAGUAACGCAUUAAGUAAGAUGACAUGAUGUAGAGGAAUUAACUCAAGAAAUGUGAUGAAAACCCCAUCUUUUUAUCCUCAAUGGCAACAAUACAAUACGUACCUUGCUGCCCCUACUGUCACUGGGAAAGGACAUCGCAAGAUUGAACCCAAAGCUAAGCACUUCUCCCAUUGCAACAAAAACCAAUCUAGUAGGCCAAACUAAACCGAUAAUUCGAAGAGACUUGCAAAGAUAUCAAAUCAUGCAUAUAAGAAUUCAGAGAAGACUCAAAUAAUAUGCAUAGAUAAUUUGACCAUAAAUCCACAAUUCAUUGGAUCUUGGCAAACACACUGCAAAACAAUAUUACAUCGAAGCUCCAAGAACAUCAAGGAGAACAUGGUAUUGAGAAUCAAAGAGAGAGAAGAAGCCAUCUAGCUACUAGCUAUGGAUGUCGUGGGAACGACUCCGACAGGGGUAGGAUAACGUAGCAUGAUCUAUCGAGAUGCAUAUGGGUGACACGGUGGUUUUAGCGAGUUCGGGCCUCUCACGGUGGAGAUAACAACCCUACGUCUUGUGCUCCGGAGAGGCUUUGUUUUAUCUGAGUAUAUAUCUGGAGAUUACAAUGUGUGUGUGUGAGAGAGGAAUGGAUCCCCAUGCCUGAGCCAAGUCCUGAGACUAAUGGUGAAAAGAGAGAGAGAGAGGUGGAAGAAAAGAACCCCCUUAGUCUAGUGGUGGGGGUGGCUUAUAUAGAGUGCGCCACCCCCUCACCUCCUAUGUUACAAAGUGGAGUAUCAAUGCCAUAAUACCUGGCCACUACAAAACCGUUAUGCUGACUAUUGGUCUUCGCAUAUCCGAGUGAGUUACCCGGCCGAGUGGAAUGAGCUUGUCGAGUGGAGUGCCGUGCUCCGAGUGGUUGUUGCCGUCCGAGUGACUUUCAAGUUGCGGUACAUCUGGACAGCGAUCUGGCCCAGGGGCCCAGUACAAAGUGUACAGUGUCCAUGGGUAGGGUCUUUAGGUCAGGCCUGUUACCCUACCCCUAAUACAUGUCCUCGUCAUUAGCCCCCGAACCGGUCGAGGUUGAGCGGGUCAAGUCGAGGUGAAUUCCCAGAUGAGUCGAGUGCUACGGAGGCACUUAUGAACUUCCUUUGGUCACCCGGCGGUCUUAUCUUCGCUUGUUGCCUUGACGGAUUCCAGUCUGCAUGGUGCCCGAGUGAAAUGAGCUCAAACGGGUCCGUGGAGGAGCGUUGAAUUCACCUUAUAGCAAUUUUUUUGAAUGAUUUGGAGCUGGUCCUGCAUCGAGUAACUGGUUACUCGAAAUUUCUUCAUGCUUGGAACGUGUCUUUUUUUGUUGUUUGGCCGUCACUCGGACCGGGCGGACCGUUCCGAGUGGAUACCAUUCCAGUGGGGGCACGCUGAGUGCACCCACUGGGUGUAGUCCCCGAGACUGCCGUCGACUACGGGCAGUCGGCGGGAGUCUUAGAGCUUGUCUUUUUUGUUUUUGUUUGGCCGUCACUCGGACAGGUCGGACUGUUCCGAGUGGAUACCAACAGUCGGCGGGAGUCUCAGAGCCUGUCUUUUUGUUGUUGUUUAUCACUUGGACUGGUCAAGCCAUACCGAGUGGAGAUUACUCCAGUGGGGGCACGCUGAGUGCACCCACUGGGUGUAGUCCCCGAGACCACCAUCGACUGCGGGCAGUCGGCGGGGGUCUGAGAGAACUAAAAAUCUUCUUAGCUGGUACUGAUCGAAGUUGUUCUUCUCUGACUCGGAGGUCGAGUAAUUAUGGUCAAAAGAAUAUUCCUGAUGUGAUCAAUAGGUUGACCAAAUGGGCGUAACCCCUGAGGGUGACAUGGCCAACUAUCGUGCAUAGCCCCUGAGUGAUGCUCGAAGGAGGUAAGCUUGCUACAGAGUGUGAUAUGAGGUUUGACCAUAUGAGUAACUUAGUCGUUCCCAUGCUGGGGGUGUAGAGGUAAAGACAUGUCCAACUGAUGGUGAUGCGCGAGGCGGCAGAGGGGCGAUGAUGUGUACAACUGAGUGACGAUGCGCGGGGCGGUCGACUGGUGAAGACGCGCGCAACCGAGUGGCGACGCGCAGAGCGGUCGAGUGGUGAAGACAUGCCCAACCGAGUGGCGACGCGUGGGGUGGCCGAAUGGUGAUGACGUGUGAAGUGGUCGAAUGUAGGACUACAUAUCUAGCCAAGUGAAGAUGCGCAGGGCAGCUGAGUGGUGAAGACGUGCACAACCGAGUGGCGGCGCGCGAGGCGGCUAAGGCGAAGUCGUGUGCCACCGGACGGUGAAAAUGGUCCUCGGAGGACUUAGUCGAAUGCUUUCGAAGCUUAUGUAGUGACGAGGUCAGUGUAACGUGGUUGCGGCGCGAGAAGACCGGUGUGCCAACUGAUUCUGAGUAGGAAUGAAGAUGGCGUGCAGAGCAUCUGGGUGAUUACUAAACUUGUUGAAGUGGCGGAUCGGAUGCAUUUGUUGAAGUGAAGGAUCUGCCAGGUGAUGAAGUAGUCGACCACUCAGGAGAGUGUCAUUCCAAAUGAGAUGCAGCCCCCGAGUGCGGCGUAGCCCCCGAGCGUACUAUAGGCUUUGACAACGGACAUAUCGGAACACGAGAAAUAUAGUUUUGAAUGGAUGAUUUGCAAUUCAUCGAGUUAGACUCGGGUAAAGAUGAGGAGAAUCUUCCGAGUGAUGCUCGGAAGAGGCAAACUCGCAAAAGAGUGAAGUGUGAAAUUUGAUUAUAAAAGGGACUUAUCUGUCUCAUGCCUGACGAGGUCUAUAUCAUUGAUACGAUGAAGAGGAUUCCACAGAGAGGUUGGCCGGAUGUGUUUGAAGUCAACAGAGCGACAAGGUAGGUGUUGUGGUGCACUAGGACCGGUACAGUGACCGAGUCCGAGCAGCGAUGAAGUUGGCGCAUAGGGCCAUCAAGUGAUCACGUAACUUGUGUAAAAAAUGGCACAAGCCAACGAAAUAAUUUCUCGAGGAAAUUCGGUGUGUGCUCAAAUGAUUCGUGUGAAUAACACCCAUAGACACCCGCUGGGAGUGCAAGGGGCUUGCUGGUUAACCAGCACGAGUCUGAAAGAGCGAAGGAUCAGUUCGAACUUGUCGAAGUGAUGGAUCCGACUGAACUCAUUGGAAUAUUGGCUCAAAUAAAAUGGAAGUGUAGUGUUUCGACUAAGUUGCAGCCCCGGAGGACCGAUGCAAACUCGAAAUUAAGAAUGACACAUGGUGUUCAUGAAUGAUGUAUGCAAAAAAAUGUAAGCUGGACUCGGGAGUCACAUAACCAGUACUAAGCAAGUAUGUGAAAAUAAGCAGCCGAGCGUAGAGGUACACUCGAUGGUGCGGCCUUCGAGUGAAGGUGAUGUGUGAAUUACGGGAUACUCGGAAAUAACAGAAUGUAAAAUGACUUAGUUGUUUGAAGGCGCGCGAGUGGCCGAGUGGUGAUGAGGUGACCAACUGAGCGGCGAUGCGCGGAGCGGCCGAGUGGUGAUGAGGUGACCAACCGAGUGGCGACGCGCGGAGCGGCCGAGUGGUGAUGAGGUGACCAACCGAGUGUGGCGAUGCGCGGAGCGGCCAAGUGGUGAUGAGGUGACCAACCGAGUGGCGACGCGCGGAGCGGCCGAGUGGUGAUGAGGUGACCAACCGAGUGUGGCGAUGCGCGGAGCGGCCGAGUGGUGAUGAGGUGANNNNNNNNNNNNNNNNNNNNNNNNNNNNNNNNNNNNNNNNNNNNNNNNNNNNNNNNNNNNNNNNNNNNNNNNNNNNNNNNNNNNNNNNNNNNNNNNNNNNNNNNNNNNNNNNNNNNNNNNNNNNNNNNNNNNNNNNNNNNNNNNNNNNNNNNNNNNNNNNNNNNNNNNNNNNNNNNNNNNNNNNNNNNNNNNNNNNNNNNNNNNNNNNNNNNNNNNNNNNNNNNNNNNNNNNNNNNNNNNNNNNNNNNNNNNNNNNNNNNNNNNNNNNNNNNNNNNNNNNNNNNNNNNNNNNNNNNNNNNNNNNNNNNNNNNNNNNNNNNNNNNNNNNNNNNNNNNNNNNNNNNNNNNNNNNNNNNNNNNNNNNNNNNNNNNNNNNNNNNNNNNNNNNNNNNNNNNNNNNNNNNNNNNNNNNNNNNNNNNNNNNNNNNNNNNNNNNNNNNNNNNNNNNNNNNNNNNNNNNNNNNNNNNNNNNNNNNNNNNNNNNNNGACCAACCGAGUGGCGACGUGCGGAGCGGCCGAGUGGUGAUGAGGUGACCAACCGAGUGGCGACGCGCGGAGCGGCCGAGUGGUGAUGAGGUGACCAACCGAGUGGCGACGCGCGGAGCGGCCGAGUGGUGAUGAGGUGACCAACCGAUGCGGGGCAUCCGAGUGACGUAGACGCGUCCCGCAGAGUGGCGACGCGCGAAGCGUCCGGAGGACAUAGACGCGUGCCGCGAAUUGGCNNNNNNNNNNNNNNNNNNNNNNNNNNNNNNNNNNNNNNNNNNNNNNNNNNNNNNNNNNNNNNNNNNNNNNNNNNNNNNNNNNNNNNNNNNNNNNNNNNNNNNNNNNNNNNNNNNNNNNNNNNNNNNNNNNNNNNNNNNNNNNNNNNNNNNNNNNNNNNNNNNNNNNNNNNNNNNNNNNNNNNNNNNNNNNNNNNNNNNNNNNNNNNNNNNNNNNNNNNNNNNNNNNNNNNNNNNNNNNNNNNNNNNNNNNNNNNNNNNNNNNNNNNNNNNNNNNNNNNNNNNNNNNNNNNNNNNNNNNNNNNNNNNNNNNNNNNNNNNNNNNNNNNNNNNNNNNNNNNNNNNNNNNNNNNNNNNNNNNNNNNNNNNNNNNNNNNNNNNNNNNNNNNNNNNNNNNNNNNNNNNNNNNNNNNNNNNNNNNNNNNNNNNNNNNNNNNNNNNNNNNNNNNNNNNNNNNNNNNNNNNNNNNNNNNNNNNNNNNNNNNNNNNNNNNNNNNNNNNNNNNNNNNNNNNNNNNNNNNNNNNNNNNNNNNNNNNNNNNNNNNNNNNNNNNNNNNNNNNNNNNNNNNNNNNNNNNNNNNNNNNNNNNNNNNNNNNNNNNNNNNNNNNNNNNNNNNNNNNNNNNNNNNNNNNNNNNNNNNNNNNNNNNNNNNAACCGUGUGGCGAUACGCGGAGCGGCCGAGUGGUGAUGAGGUGACCAACCGAGUGGCGACGCGCGGAGCGGCCGAGUGGUUGUGAGGUGACCAACCAUGUGGCGACACGCGAAGCGGCCGAGUGGUGAUGAGGUGACCAACCGAUGGUGACGCGCGGGGCGGCCGAGUGGAGUAGAUGCAUCCCGCGGGGUGACGAAGCGCGGGACGUCCGAGUGAAGUAGACGUGUCCCGCAGAGUGGCGAUGCGCGGGGCGUCCGGCUGAAGUAGACGUGUCCCGCGGUGUGAUGACGUGCGAGUCGUCCGAGUGAUGUAGACGUGUCCCGCGGAAUGACAAUGCGCAAGGCGUUAGGGUGAAGUAGACGCGACCCGCAGAGCAACGACACAUAGCUGCCUAAAUGAUAUAGACGUGUCCUGCGGAGUGGCAUCGUGCGGGGCGUCUGAGUUAUCCAACGCUCGUCCGAGUGCAUAGAGCAGGACCUGUACGUCAUGCAUGUCCGAGUGGUGUGUCUCAGCCAGUCCGAGUGAAAAAUACACAUAGAGCAGGACAUGUACGUCAUGCAUGUCCGAGUGGUGUGUCUCAUCCAGACCGAGUGAAAAAUACGCAUGAGACCUGGUGUGGACGCUGGAGGAGAGCUCCGCUGCGGCGGAAACGGCCGGUCUGGUCGGAACCGGACGGUAGCUGAGAUGUGGCGAUGAGGAGGAUGAGCAGCUCCGCGGUCCAGUCACGGGCCGGCGCAUCCAAGGACGAGGCCGGCGCGAGCGCCGGUGGUUGCGUUUCGCCGCCCGGGGAACCGGAGUUGGCACAUGUCGGAGUCGUGCUUCGACGCGUGUGGAGCUGGGUCGAGUGCCGUCGGCUAGGCCUUGUCGCCCGAGGAGCCGGGUUGACCGGACCAUCGUUCGACAUGUUCAACCGGCCGGGGAACUAGGCCGAGCGUUUAGUGGCUGCGCGUGUGUGGGUGCUCGCCGAUGGCAUCAUCGAUGAGUACGCGAGAUGAUGACGGGCGGACGACGGCGCUUCAUCGUCAGGGAGCUGAGUCACCAAUCGGAUCAAAGGGAGGCGUCCUUUGUAUGAGCUCGUGUGCAUACAGGAAAAGAACAAACCAUAGUUAAAUCAUUGCAGUGUUUGAUUGUAAAGAGGGCGAAGAGAUGAGCAACUCCCUGAUCCUUUUAUUUGUACGAAUGACGCGAUAACCAGAGCUCUAGUGGCCAAUUUCUCUGGUGCUGGUAGUUGAUCCGCUGUUGAAGAUUGAAGAAAAAACCAUAUGCACCAUGGUUCGAUAGACGCCAUGCCCCAAGGUGGGCGCCAACUGUCGUGGGAAUGACUCCGACAGUAAAAGAGGGGUAGGAUAACGUAGCAUGAUCUAUCGAGAUGCAUAUGGGUGACACGGUGGUUUUAGCGAGUUCGGGCCUCUCACGGUAGAGAUAACAACCCUACGUCUCGUGCUUCGGAGAGGCUUUGUUUUAUCUGAGUAUAUAUCCGGAGAUUACAAUGUGUGUGUGAGAGAGAGAGGAAUGGAUCCCCAUGCCUGAGCUAAGUCCUGAGACUAAUGGUGAAAAGAGAGAGAGAGGUGGAAGAAAAGAACCCCCUUAGUCUAGUGGUGGGGGGUGGCUUAUAUAGAGUGUGCCACCCCCUCACCUCCUAUGUUACAAAGUGGACUAUCAAUGCCAUAAUACCUGGCCACUACAAAACCGUUAUGCUGACUAUUGGUCUUCGCAUAUCCGAGUAAGUUACUCGGCCGAGUGGAAUGAGCUUGUCGAGUGGAGUGCCGUGCUCCGAGUGGUUGUUGUGGUCCGAGUGACUUAAAAGUUGCGGUACAUCUGGACGGCAAUCUGGCCCAGGGGACCAGUACAAAGUGUACGGUGUCCAUGGGUAGGGUCUUUAGGUCAGGCCUGUUACCCUACCCCUAAUACAUGUCCUCGUCAAUGGACCCGUAGGUCUGUGGUAAACUACUCACGCUUCAUCGGAAGGGUAAUGGUGUUGAUGUAGAAGCCCUCCAUGAUCGAAUCCCCCUCCGGCAGGACACCGGGAAAGGCCCCUAGAUGGGAUCUCAUGGGUACAUAAGGUUGCGGCGAUGGAAAAGUGGGUUUGUGGCUUUCCUGGAUGUUUUCAGGGUAUAAGAGUAUAUAUAGGCGAAGGAACUAGGUUAGGAGACCCACGAGGGGCCCACGAGGUAGGGGGCAUGCACUACCCCCCUGGGCGCGCCCUCCACCCUCGUGGCCACCUUGUUGCAUUUCCGACUUCAUCUCCAAGUCUCCUGGUUUGCUUCCGGUCCAAGAAAGAUCAUCACGAAAGUUUCAUUCCGUUUGGACUCCGUUUGGUACUCCUUUUCUGCGAAACUCUAAAUAGGCAAACAAAAUAGAAACCGGCACUAGGCUCUAGGUUAAUAGGUUAGUCCCAAAAAUAAUAUAAAAUAGCAUAUAAAUGCCUAUUAAACAUCCAAAACAGAUAAUAUAAUAGCACGGAACAAUCAAAAAUUAUAGAUACGUUGGAGACGUACCAAGCUACUUUCCAAAUUGAGAGAAGGUACAAUACCUCAUCAAGUUCUACUUUCCUCCCACUCACUUCUUUCGAGAGAAAACCCUUCUCUAGAAAGGUUCCAUUCUUGGCAACAAAGAUCUUGCCUUUGGAUCUGUGGUAGAAGGUGUACGUAAUUGUUUCCUUAGGGUAUCCUAUAAAGAUGCACUUCUCCGAUUUGGGUUCGAGCUUAUCAGGCUGAAGCCUUUUGACAUAAGUGGCGCAACCCCAAACUUUAAGAAACGACAACUUAGGUUUAUUUCCAGACCACAGUUCAUAUGGUGUCGUCUCAACGGAUUUAGACGGUGCCCUAUUUAACGUGAAUGCAGCUGUCUCUAAUGCAUAACCCCAAAACGAUAGUGGUAAAUCGGUAAGAGACAUAAUAGAUCGCACCAUAUCUAAUAAAGUACGGUUAUGAUGUUCGGACACACCAUUACGGUGUGGUGUUCUAGGUGGCGUGAGUUUUGAAACUAUUCCACAUUGUUUUAAAUGAAGGCCAAACUCAUAACUCAAAUAUUCACCUCCGCGAUCAAAUCGUAGAAACUUUAUUUUCUUGUUACGAUGAUUCUUCACUUCACUCUCAAAUUCUUUGAACUUUCCAAAUAUUUCAGACUUGUGUUUCAUUAAGUAGAUAUACCCAUAUCUCCUCAAAUCAUUUGUGAAGGUAAGAAAAUAACGAUACCCACCGCGAGCCUCAACACUCAUUGGACCGCAUACAUCGGUAUGUAUUAUUUCCAAUAAGUCAUUGGCUCGCUCCAUUGUUCUGGAGAACGGAGUUUUAGUCAUCUUAGCCAUGAGGCAUGGUUCGCAAGUAUCAAAUGAUUCAUAAUCAAGUGAUUCCAAAAGCCCAUCAGCAUGGAGUUUCUUCAUGCGCUUUACACCAAUAUGACCUAAAUGGCAGUGCCACAAGUAUGUUGCACUAUCAUUAUCAACUUUGCAUCUUUUGGCAUCAAUAUUAUGAAUAUGUGUAUCACUAUGGUCGAGAUUCAAUAAACCAUUAACAUUGGGGUGUAUGACCAUAGAAGGUUUUAUUCAGGUAAACAGAAUAACAAUUAUUCUCUGUCUUAAAUGAAUAACCGUAUUGCAAUAAACACGAUCCUAUCUUGUUCAUGCUCAACGCAAACACCAAAUAACAUUUAUUUAGAUUCAACACUAAUCCCAAAAUUAUAGGGAGUGUGCAAUGGUGAUCAUAUAAAUCUUGGAACCACUUCUAACACACAUCAUCAUUUCACCCUCAACUAGUCUCCAUUUAUUCUACAACUCCUGUUUCAAGUUACUAAUCUUAGCAACCGAACAGGUAUCAAAUACCCAGGGGCUACUACGAGAACUAGUAAGGUACACAUUAAUAACAUGUGUAUCAAAUAUAUCUUUAUUCACUUUGCCAUCCUUCUUAUCCGCCAAAUAUUUGGGGUAGCUCCGCUUCCAGUGACCAUUUCCUUUGCAGUAGAAGCACUCACUUUCAGGCUUAGGUCCAGCUUUGGGCUUCUUCACGGGAGUGACUACUUGCUUGUCAUUCUUCUUGAAGUUCCCUUUCUUUCCCUUGCCUUUUUUCUUCAAACUAGUGGUCUUGUUAACCAUCAACACUUGAUGCUCUUUCUUGAUUUCUACCUUCACCGAUUUCAGCAUCGCGAAAAGCUCGGGAAUCGUUCUCGUCAUCCCUUGCAUAUUAUAGUUUGUCACGAAGUUCUAGUAGCUUGGUGAUAGUGACUAGAGAACUUUGUCAAUCACAAUCUUAUCUGAAAGAUUAACUCCCACUUGAAUCAAACGAUUAUAGUGCCCAGACAUUCUGAGCACUUGCUCACUAGCUGAGCUAUUCUCCUCCAUCUUGUAGGAAAAGUACUUGCCAGAGGUCUCAUACCUCUCUACAUGGGCAUGAGUCUGAAAUACCAAUUUCAGCUCUUGGAACAUCUCAUAUGCUCCAAGGCAUUCAAAACGUCUUUGAAUCCCCUAUUCUAAUCCAUAAAGCAUGGCACACUAAACUAUCUAGUAGUCAUCAUAUCGAGCUUGUCGAAUGUUCAUAAUGUCUGUAUCUGCUCCUGCAAUAGGUCUGUCACCUAGCGGUGCAUCAAGGACAUAAUUCUUCUGUGCAACAAUGAGGAUAAUCCUCGGAUCAUGGACCCAGACUGCAUCAUUGCUACUAUCAUCUUUCAACUUAGUUUUCUCUAGGAAUAUAUCAAAAAAAUAGGGGAGCUACAACGUGAGCUAUUGAUCUACAACAUAAUUUGCAAAUACUAUCAGGGCUAAGUUCAUGAUAAAUUAAGUUCAAUUAAUCAUAUUACUUAACAACUCCCACUUAGAUUGACCUCCCUCAAGUCAUCUAAAUGAUACGUGAUCCAAAUCAACUAAACCAUGUCCGAUCAUCACGCGAGAUGGAGUAGUCAUCAAUGGUGAACAUCUCUAUGUUGAUCAUAUCUACUAUAUAAUUCACGUUCGACCUUUCGGUCUCCGGUGUUCCGAGGCCAUGUCUGUACAUACUAGGCUCGUCAAGUUUAACCAGAGUAUUCCGCAUGUGCAAAAAUGUCUUGCACCCGUUGUAUGUGAACGUAGAGCCUAUCACACCCGAUCAUCACGUGGUGUCUCAGCACGAAGAACUGUCGCAACGGUGCAUACUCAGGGAGAACUAUUAUACCUUGAAAUUUUAGUUAAGGGAUCAUCUUAUAAUGCUACCGUCGUACUAAGCAAAAUAAGAUGCAUAAGAUAUAAACAUCACAUGCAAUCAAAAUAUGUGACAUGAUAUGGCCAUCACCAUCUCGUUCUUUUGAUCUCCAUCUCCAAAGCAUUGUCAUGAUCUCCAUCAUCACCGGCUCGACACCUUGAUCUCCAUCGUUGCAUCGUUGUUGUCUCGCCAACUAUUGCUUCUACAACUAUCGCUACCGCUUAGUGAUAAAGUAAAGCAAUUACAUGGUGUUUGCAUUUCAUACAAUAAAGAGACAACCAUAAGGCUCCUGUCGAUUGCCGAUAACUUUUAAAAAACAUGAUCAUCUCAUAUAAUAACAUAUAUCACAUCAUGUCUUGACCCUAUCACAUCACAAGCAUGCCCUGCAAAAGCAAGUUAGACGUCCUCUACUUUGUUGUUGCAAGUUUUGCGUGGCUGCUACGGGCUUCUAGCAAGAACCGUUCUUACCUACGGCACAAAACCACAAUGAUGAUUUAUCAAGUUUGUUGUUUCAACCUUCAACAAGAACUGGUCGUAGUCAAAUUUGAUUCAACUAAAGUUGGAGAAACAGACACCCACCAGCCACCUUUAUGCAAAACUAGCUGCAUGUCUGCCGGUGGAACCGGUCUCAUGAACGUGGUCAUGUAAGGUUAGUUCGGGCCGCUUCAUCCAACAAUACCGCUGAAUCAAAAUAAGACAUUGGUGGUAAGCAGUAUGAUGAUCGCCACCCACAACUCUUUGUGUUCUACUCGUGCAUAUCAUCUACGCAUAGACCUGGCUCGGAUACCACUGUUGGGGAACGUAGCAUGCAGUUUUAAAAAAAAUUCUACGCUCACGCAAGAUCUAUCUAGGAGAUGCAUAGCAACGAGAGGGGUAGAGUGUGUCUACGUACCCUUAUAGACCGAAAGCGGAAGCGUUUAUCACGCGGUUGAUGUAGUCGUACUCUUCGUGAUCCGAUCACGAUCCAACCAAUCUAGUGCCGAACAAACGGCACCUCCAAGUUUAGCACACAUGCGGCUCGAUGACGUCUCCUCCUUCUUGAUCCAACAAGAAGGAGAGGAGAAGUAAAAGGGAUCACAACCGACACGAAAGCUUGGUGGUGAUGGUGGUGGUGGAGCACCGACAGCGCUUCGUUAAGCGUCGCCGAGACGAGGCGGUGGAACUACGGAGUGACAGGAGAGAGAGGGGCACCAAGGGUUUGGUGUGUCCUCUUGGGGUGCCUCCUCCUAUCUAUAUAUAGGUGGAGGGGCAUGGCAAACAGCCCCUCCAAGCCCUAGGGCGCAGCUAAGGGGGAGAGGACUUGGACUCCAAGUCUAAUCCUAUUCCUACUAGGACUCCUUCCCUUUUUGCCUUCCCUAGCCACAUGGGCUUUUGAGGACUUGGUGCGCCUAGCCCAGUCAAGCCAGGGCACCUUCCUGCAGCCCAUGCUAGCCCUUGGGUCGUGGUGAACCCACUUGCGGACUUCCGGACCCCUCCAGAAUCCUCCGAAACCUUCUGGAAGCUUCCCGGUACAAUACCAAAAAAACUGCACCUUUUUACGGAACCCAAAAUAUGACUUCCUAUAUAUAAAUCUUUACCUCUCGACCAUUCCGAGAUCCUUGUGACGUCUGGGAUCUCAUCCGGGACUCCGAACAACAUUUGGUUACCACUCAUCAAAUAUCCCAAUACUACUCUAGCGUCAACAAACGUUAAGCGUGCGACCCUACAGGUUCGAGAACUAUGUAGACAUGACCGAGACACUUCUCCGGUCAAUAACUAAUAGCGGAACCUGGAUGCUCCCACAUAUUCUACGAAGAUCUUUAUCGGUCGAAUUGUUAUGACAACAUACGUUAUUCCCUUUGUCCAUCGGUAAUGUUUCUUGCCCGAGAUUCGAUCGUUGGUAUCUUGAUACCUAGUUAAAUCUUGUUACCGGCAAGUCUCUUUACUCGUUCCAUAAUGCAUCAUCCUGCAAAUAACUCAUUAGUCACUUUGCUUGCAAGGCUUCUUAUGAUGUACAUUACCAAGAGGGCCCGGAGAUACCUCUCCGAUACUCGGAGUGACAAAUCCUAAUCUCGAUCUAUGCCAACCCAACAAAUACCUUCGGAGAUACCUGUAGAGCAUCUUUAUAAUCACCCAGUUAUGUUGUGACAUUUGAUAGCACAAAAGGCAUUCCUUCGGUAUCUGGGAGUUGCAUAAUCUCAUAGUCGAAGGAAUAUGUAUUUGACAUGAAGAAAGCAAUAGCAAUAAAACUUAACGAUCAAUACGCUAUGCUAACAGAUGGGUCUUGUCUAUCACAUCAUUCUCCUAAUGAUGUGAUCCCCUUCAUCAAAUGACAACACAUGUCUAUGGUUAGGAAACUUAACCAUUUUGAUUAACGAGCUAGUCUAGUAGAGGCUUACUAGAGACACGGUGUUAUGUCUAUGUAUCCACACAUGUAUCAAGUUUCUGAUUAAUACAAUUCUAGCAUGAAUAAUAAACAUUUAUGAUGAAAUAAGGAAAUAUAAAAUAACAACUUUAUUAUUGCCUCUAGGGCAUAUUUCCUUCAAAUCCAACAAACAAAUAAUCACACGCCGACAACAAAAUAUAACGGAGGGCAUCUGGAGCAUCGGCCUCGGGUUGUUACAUAGUGCUCAGUACCUAUUUUUGCAUUUCUUUGUUUUGCAAAAUGGGACGUCGUGUUUACACUGGGCUUUGCAUGUGUUUCUUGGAGCGACGUCAAGUUCGUCAGAUGCGUGACGGGGGAGGAAAAUAUGAGCGUACUGGAAACAUGAAGUGCCUGACAAUGCACACCUGUUUGAUGUUGUCAAUGGUCUGGGCGAGCAUUUUUGAAUGAGAUGUUUUGUUAGGUAUUGCCUAUUUUGUAAGAUCUUAAUUCUUUUAGUUUACACAACCUAAGCUAAUUACAUAGUUUGUGGCUUUAUUGAAUGAGAUGUAAAGUUGUUGUUAUGUUAGAUUUUCUAUAUGUGUUCUUAAUCAUUCCAAUUUAUGCACUACAUGGGUUGUUCAUAGAUGUUGGUGUAUCUGUGCUCACUAUGGGGUUCAUGCUCGUUUCCUUGUUUGGAACACACGGCCUUUGGUUCGGGUGUUUAGAAGUGUGGCAGACGCUUUGGUGGUUUGCUGCAUUGGUUUUGGUCGAUGAACACAAGGAGAGGGCACGUUGUUGGGUAGCCGGUUGGUGUAGACGCGGUGCGAAGAGCCAUGUUGAUGGUCAUGUCCUAUCACACGGUAGGCAUCACGUCCACUCGCUACGUAUGGUUCUGACCCGUGGUUGUACCGUAUGGUUGCUUCACUUGUGGUUUUUGCUUGAAGUUGGAGAGUUGUUUUGUAUUCACUGCUCAACUGAUUUACAAGGUACAUAUCAUAUCCCCGCAGGGAGAGAGCCAACGCACCUGAAAACAAGGCACGCAGGCCAUGAGCGUUGCUAGAUCCUACAAAGUAGGAGUGGACUCAGUUUACAUAACUCAACGUUACAAUUACACAGUACACAUUUAACACCCCCCCCCCCUCAGUUGGAACUCCAUUGGGAAGGACGUUCAGGCUGGCACAGAACUCAUGAAACACCUGAGAAGGUAGCCCUUUGGUGAACAAGUCAGCAAACUAUGAACUCGAGGGAACAUGGAGCACACGGGCCUCGCCAAGAGCCACAUGAUCCCGGACGAAAUGGAGAUCAAUCUCAAUGUGCUUUGUCCGUUGAUGUUGACCUGGGUUGGAGGCAAGAUAUGUUACGCUGACAUUAUCACAAUAAACCAUGAUGGCAUGAGUUGGUGGACACUUGAGAUCAUGCAAUAGUUGAUGGAGCCAGCAAGAGUCGGCAACACAGUUGGCGACGCCCCGGUACUCAGCUUCUGCAAUGGAUCGUGAGACAGUAGGUUGACGCUUCGAGGACCAAGAUAUGAUGUUGUUGCCAAGGAAUACACAGAAUCCGGAAGUGGACUUGCGAGUGUCCGGGCACCCGGCCCAAUCAGCGUCGGUGUAGGCAAUGAGGUCAUGAGAUGAUGACUUGUAGAGCUGAAUACCGUAGUGGGAUGUGCCUUGUAAGUACCAAAGGAUUCGUUUGACCAAUUGCAUAUGAGUGUCAUGCGGCUCAUGCAUGAAGAGGCAAACCUGUUGGACAGCACAGGAGAUAUCCGGGCGAGUGAGAGUGAGAUACUGAAGCGCGCCGACCAAGCUCCGGUAGUAUGUGGAGUUGGAUAGUGGUUUACCAUCGUGGAGGGAUAGUUUGGAAGAGGUGUCCACGGGGGUGGACACGGGUUUGCAAUGAAGCAUGUUGGCUCGGUCAAGAAUCUCAUGUGUAUACUAUUGCUGGCAAAGAAACAAGCUGGAGGAGUUGGGAGUAACAUCGAUGCCAAGAAAGUGAUGUAACUCACCAAGGUCUGACAUGGAGAACUCCUUCUUGAGAGAGGCAAUGAUGGAGUGAAGGGUGGCAGGUGUGUUGGCUGUGAGGAUGAUAUCAUCCACAUAGACAAGAAGGUAUGCAAUGGAGUGUACAUGGUGCCAAAUGAACAAUGACGAGUCGCUCUUGGAAGCACAAAACCCAAUAGACAGCAAGAAAGUCUUGAACCAAAGAAACCAUGUACGAGGGGCCUGCUUCAAACCAUAUAGUGACUUGUUGAGGAGACACACAUGAUCCGGAUGUGAAGAAUCGACAAAACCACGGAGAAAGGCAUUUUUGACAUCCAGCUGUUGAAUUGGCCACGAGUGAGAGGUGGCAAGACUGGGCACCACACGAAUGGUGGCCAGUUUGACGACCGGACUGAAUGUCUUGUCGUAGUCCAUGCCCUCUUGCUGAGUGAAUCCCCGGACAGCCCACUGAGCUUUGUACCGAGCCAAAGAUCCAUCCGUGUUAAACUUGUGGCAAAAAAUCCACUUCCCCGUAACAAUGUUGACACCUGCAGGCUUAGGCACCAAAGACCAAGUAAAGUUAUUGAUUAAAGCAUGAUACUCAUCUUGCAUAGCUUGGCGCCAAUUUGGAUCCUUUAGGGCAGAUUUGUACGUGGGAGGUAUAGGAGAGAGGGGUGUGGAAGAGGUGUCAGCAAGAAAAAGGCAGUGAGGCAUGCAAUAGCCACGUUUGGCCCGAGUAGUCAAGGUGUGAGAAUUACGUGGUGGCUCAGCUGGUUGUGCAUGGCGAGGAAGAUGUGGCAGAGGGGGAGUGGGCGUGCAUGCCUCAUAUCCCGAGGACGAUACGGUGGAGCAGGCGUCAGGCACGGAAGAAUCUAUAGCAGGUGGGGCAGAGCCAACAGGCGCGGAGGGCAAGGUAGAUGCGGGUGUGAUGGUUGGUGGAGAUGGGGGCGCAGUGUUGGGGAACGUUGCAGAAAAUUAAAAAAUUUCCUACGGUUUCACCAAGAUCCAUCUAUGAGUUCAUCUAAGCAACGAGUCAACGGAGUGAGUUUGCAUCUACAUACCACUUGUAGAUCGCGUGCGGAAGCGUUCAAGGGGAUGGUGAUGAUGGAGUCGCACUCGCCGUGAUUCAGAUCACCGAUGACCAAGUGCUGAACGGACAGCACCUCCGCGUUCAACACACGUACGGGACGGACGACGUCUCCUCCGUCUUGAUCCAGCAAGGAGGAAGGAGAGGUUGAUGAUGAUCCAGCAGCACAACGGCGUGGUGGUGGAUGCAGCAGAACUCCGGCAGGGCUUCGCCAAGCUGCUGCGGGAGGAGGACGAGGUGUAGCAGGGGGAGGGAGGCGCCAAUGCACAGGGUUGUGGCUACCCUCCCCCUUGCCCUCCUUUAUAUAGGCCCCUAGGGGGGCGCCGGCCCUGGGAGAUUCAAUCUCCCAAGGGGGCGGCGACCAGGGGGGUGGAGUGCCCCCCAAGGCAUGUGGUGCGCCCCCCCCCCCCCCNNNNNNNNNNNNNNNNNNNNNNNNNNNNNNNNNNNNNNNNNNNNNNNNNNNNNNNNNNNNNNNNNNNNNNNNNNNNNNNNNNNNNNNNNNNNNNNNNNNNNNNNNNNNNNNNNNNNNNNNNNNNNNNNNNNNNNNNNNNNNNNNNNNNNNNNNNNNNNNNNNNNNNNNNNNNNNNNNNNNNNNNNNNNNNNNNNNNNNNNNNNNNNNNNNNNNNNNNNNNNNNNNNNNNNNNNNNNNNNNNNNNNNNNNNNNNNNNNNNNNNNNNNNNNNNNNNNNNNNNNNNNNNNNNNNNNNNNNNNNNNNNNNNNNNNNNNNNNNNNNNNNNNNNNNNNNNNNNNNNNNNNNNNNACCCUAGGCGCAGGGGGUGGGCCUAGGGGGGCGCUCCAGCCCACUAUGGGCUGGCUCCCCUCCCACUUCAGCCCAUGGGGCCCUCCGGGAUGGGUGGCCCCACCCGGUGGACCCCCGGGACCCUUCCGGUGGUCCCGGUACAUUACCGGGUGACCCUGAAACUUUCCCGAUGGCCGAAAUACCACUUCCUAUAUAUAAUUCUUUACCUCCGGACCAUUCCAAAACUCCUCGUGACGUCCGGGAUCUCAUCUGGGACUCCGAACAACAUUCGGUAUGCUGCAUACUCAUAUUCAUACAACCCUAGCGUCACCGAACCUUAAGUGUGUAGACCCUACGGGUUCGGGAGACACGUAGACAUGACCGAGACGACUCUCGGGCAAUAACCAACAGCGGGAUCUGGAUACCCAUGUUGGCUCCCACAUGCUCCUCGAUGAUUUCAUCGGAUGAACCACGAUGUCGAGGAUUAAACAACCCCGUAUACAAUUCCCUUUGUCAAUCAGUACGUUACUUGCCCGAGACUCGAUCGUCGGUAUCCCAAUACCUUGUUCAGUCUCGUUACCGGCAAGUCACUUUACUCGUACCGUAAUGCAUGAUCCCGUGACCAACCACUUGGUCACUUUGAGCUCAUUAUGAUGAUCCAUUACCGAGUGGGCCCAGAGAUACCUCUCCGUCAUACGGAGUGACAAAUCCCAGUCUCGAUCCGUGUCAACCCAACAGACACUUUCGGAGAUACCUGUAGUGCACCUUUAUGGUCACCCAGUUACGUUGUGACGUUAGAUACACCCAAAGCACUCCUACGGUAUCCGGGAGUUACACGAUCUCAUGGUCUAAGGAAGAGAUACUUGACAUUGGAAAAGCUCUAGCAAACGAACUACACGAUCUUGUGCUAUGCUUAGGAUUGGGUCUUGUCCAUCACAUCAUUCUCCUAAUGAUUUGAUCCCGUUAUCAACAACAUCCAAUGUCCAUCGCCAGGAAACCAUGACUAUCUGUUGAUCAACGAGCUAGUCAACUAGAGGCUCACUAGGGACAUAUUGUGGUCUAUGUAUUCACACGUGUAUUACGAUUUUCGGAUAAUACAAUUAUAGCAUGAAUAAAAGACAAUUAUCAUGAACAAGGAAAUAUAAUAAUACUUUUAUUAUUGCCUCUAGGGCAUAUUUCCAACAGUCUCCCACUUGCACUAGAGUCAAUAAUCUAGUUACAUUGUGAUGAAUCGAACACCCAUAGAGUUCUGGUGUUGAUCAUGUUUUGCUCGCGAGAGAGGUUUAGUCAAUGGAUCUGCGACAUUCAGAUCCGUGUGUACUUUGCAAAUUUCUAUGUCUCCAUCUCGAACAUUUUCACGGAUGGAUUUGAAGCAACGCUUGAUGUGCCUUGUCUUCUUGUGAAACCUGGGCUCCUUGGCAAGGGCAAUAGCUCCAGUGUUGUCACAGAAGAGUUUGAUCGGCCCUGACGCAUUGGGUAUGACUCCUAGGUCGGUGAUGAACUCCUUCACCCAAAUUGCUUCAUGCGCUGCCUCUGAGGCUGCCAUGUACUCCGUUUCACAUGUAGAUCCCGCCACGACGCUCUGCUUGCAGCUGCACCAGCUUACUGCUCCACUAUUCAACAUAUACACGUAUCCGGUUUGUGACUUAGAGUCAUCCAGAUCUGUGUCGAAGCUAGUGUCGACAUAACCCUUUACGAUGAGCUCUUCGUCACCUCCAUAAACGAGAAACAUGUCCUUCGUCCUUUUCAGGUACUUCAGGAUAUUCUUGACCGCUGUCCAGUGUUCCUUGCCGGGAUUACUUUGGUACCUUCCUACCAAACUUACGGCAAGGUUUACAUCAGGUCUGGCACACAGCAUGGCAUACAUAAUAGAUCCUACAGCUGAAGCAUAGGGGAUGACACUCAUCUCUUCUUUAUCUUUUGCCGUGGUCGGUGACUGAGCCGAGCUCAAUCUUACACCUUGCAACACAGGCAAGAACCCCUUCUUGGACUGAUCCAUUUUGAACUUCUUCAAAAUCUUAUCAAGGUAUGUGCUUUGUGAAAGACCUAUGAGGCGUCUCGAUCUAUCUCUAUAGAUUUUGAUGCCUAAUAUAUAAGAAGCUUCUCCAAGGUCCUUCAUUGAAAAACACUUAUUCAAGUAGGCCUUAAUGCUGUCCAGAAGUUCUAUAUCAUUUCCCAUCAAGAGUAUGUCAUCCACAUAUAAUAUGAGAAAUGCUACAGAGCUCCCACUCACUUUCUUGUAAACGCAGGCUUCUCCAUAAGUCUACAUAAACCCAAACGCUUUGAUCAUCUCAUCAAAGCGAAUGUUCCAACUCUGAGAUGCUUGCACCAGCCCAUAAAUGGAUCGCUGGAGCUUGCAUACUUUGUUAGCGUUAUUAGGAUCAACAAAACCUUCCGGCUGCAUCAUAUACAGCUCUUCCUUAAGAUGUCCGUUAAGGAAUGCCAUUUUGACGUCCAUCUGCCAUAUCUCAUAAUCAUAGUAUGCGGCAAUUGCUAACAUGAUUCGGACGGACUUCAGCUUCGCUACGGGAGAGAAUGUCUCGUCGUAGUCAAUCCCUUGAACUUGUCGAUAACCCUUAGCGACAAGUCGAGCUUUAUAGAUGGUAACAUUACCAUCCGCGUCCGCCUUCUUCUUAAAAAUCCAUUUGUUCUCUAUCGCUCGCCGAUCAUCGGGCAAGUCUGUCAAAGUCCAUACUUUGUUUUCAUACAUGGAUUCUAUCUCGGAUUUCAUGGCUUCAAGCCAUUUGUUGGAAUCUGGGCCCGCCAUCGCUUCUUCAUAGUUCGAAGGUUCACCGUUGUCUAACAACAUGAUUUCCAGGACAGGGUUGCCGUACCACUCUGGUGCGGAACGUGCCCUUGUGGACCUACGAAGUUCAGUAGCAACUUGAUCCGAAGUACCUUGAUCAUCAUCAUUAUUUUCCUCUUCAGUUGGUGUAUGCAUCACAGGAACAUUUUCCUGAGCUGCACCACUUUCCCGUUCGAGAGGUAGUACUUCAUCGAGUUCUACUUCUCCCACUUACUUCUUUCGAGAGAAACUCUUUUUCCAGAAAGCAUCCGUUCUUGGCAACAAAGAUCUUGCCCUCGGAUCUUAAGUAGAAGGUAUACCCAACGGUUUCCUUAGGGUAUCCUAUGAAGACGCAUUUUUCCGACUUGGGUUCGAGCUUUUCAGGUUGAAGUUUCUUGACAUAAGCAUCGCAUCCCCAAACUUUUAGAAACGACAGCUUAGGUUUCUUCCCAAACCAUAAUUCAUACGGUGUCGUCUCAACGGAUUUAGACAGUGCCCUAUUUAAAGUGAAUGUAGCUGUCUCUAGAGCAUAUCCUAAAAAUGAUAGCGGUAAAUCGGUAAGAGACAUCAUAGACCGCACCAUAUCCAAUAGAGUGCGAUUACGACGUUCGGACACACCGUUACGCUGAGGUGUUCCAGGCGGCGUGAGUUGUGAAACGAUUCCACACCUUAAGUGUGUACCAAAUUCGUGACUUAAGUAUUCUCCUCCACGAUCUGAUCGUAGGAACUUUAUCUUUCGGUCACGUUGAUUCUCUACCUCAUUCUGAAAUUCCUUGAACUUUUCAAAGGUCUCAGACUUGUGUUUCAUUAAGUAGACAUACCCAUAUCUACUCAAGUCAUCAGUGAGAGUGAGAACAUAACAAUAUCCUCCGCGAGCCUCAACGCUCAUUGGACCGCACACAUCGGUAUGUAUGAUUUCCAACAAGUUGGUUGCUCGCUCCAUUGUUCCGGAGAAUGGAGUCUUGGUCAUUUUGCCCAUGAGGCAUGGUUCACAUGUGUCAAAUGAUUCAUAAUCGAGAGACUCUAAAAGUCCAUCAGCAUGGAGCUUCUUCAUGCGCUUAACACCAAUGUGACCAAGGCGGCAGUGCCACAAGUAUGUGGGACUAUCGUUAUCAACUUUACAUCUUUUGGCAUUCACACUAUGAAUAUGUGUAAUAUUACGCUCGAGAUUCAUUAAGAAUAAACCAUUGACCAUCGGAGCAUGACCAUAAAACAUAUCUCUCAUAUAAAUAGAACAACCAUUAUUCUUGGAUUUAAAUGAGUAGCCAUCUCGUAUUAAACGAGAUCCUGAUACAAUGUUCAUGCUCAAACUUGGCACUAAAUAACAAUUAUUAAGGUUCAAAACUAAUCCCAUAGGUAAAUGUAGAGGCAGCGUGCCGACGGCGAUCACAUCGACUCUGGAACCAUUCCCGACGUGCAUCGUCACCUCGUCCUUCGCCAGUCUCCGUUUAUUCCACAGCUCCUGCUGUGAGUUACAAAUAUGAGCAACGGCACCGGUAUCAAAUACCCAGGAGUUACUACGAGUACUGGUAAGGUACACAUCAAUUACAUGUAUAUCAAAUAUACCUUUGGUGUUGCCGGCCUUCUUAUCCGCUAAGUAUUUGGGGCAGUUCCGCUUCCAGUGACCCUUCCCCUUGCAAUAAAAGCACUCAGUCUCAGGCUUGGGUCCAUUCUUUGACUUCUUCCCGGUAACUGGCUUACCGGGCGCGGCAACAUCCUUGCCGUCCUUCUUGAAGUUCUUCUUGCCCUUGCCCUUCUUGAACUUAGUGGUCUUAUUGACCAUCAACACUUGAUGUUCUUUCUUGAUCUCAACCUCUGUUGUCUUUAGCAUUGAAAAUACUUCAGGAAUGGUCUUCACCAUCCCCUGCAUAUUGUAGUUCAUCACAAAGCUCUUGUAGCUUGGUGGGAGCGACUGAAGGAUUCUGUCAAUGACCGCCUCAUCAGGGAGGUUAAUGUUCAGCUAAGUCAGGCGGUUGUGCAACCCAGACAUUUUGAGUAUGUGCUCACUGACAGAACUGUUUUCCUCCAUCUUACAAUUAUAGAACUUGUCGGAGACAUCAUAUCUCUCGACCCGGGCAUGAGCUUGGAAAACUAGUUUCAGCUCUUUGAACAUCUCAUAUGCUCUGUGAUGCUCAAAACGCUUUUGGAGCCCCGGUUCUAAGCUGUAAAGCAUGCCGCACUGAACGAGGGAGUAAUCAUCGGCACGAGACUGCCAAGCAUUCAUAACGUCUUGGUUCUCUGGGACGGGAGCGUCACCUAGCGGUCCUUCUAGGACAUAUUGUUUCCUCGCAGCUAUGAGGAUGAUCCUCAGGUUCCGGACCCAGUAUGUAUAGUUGCUGCCAUCAUCUUUCAACUUGGUUUUCUCUAGGAACGCGUUGAAGAUCAUGUUGACAUGAGCGUUGGCCAUUUGAUCUACAAGACAUAUUUGCAAAGGUUUUAGACUAAGUUCAUGAUAAUUAAGUUCAUCUAAUCAAAUUAUUACAAUGAACUCCCACUCAGAUUAGACAUCCCUCUAGUCAUCUAAGUGUUACACGAUCCGAGUCGACUAGGCCGUGUCCGAUCAUCACGUGAGACGGACUAGUCAUCGUCGGUGAACAUCUUCAUGUUGAUCGUAUCUUCCAUACGACUCGUGUUCGACCUUUCGGUCUCUGUGUUCCGAGGCCAUGUCUGUACAUGCUAGGCUCGUCAAGUUAACCCUAAGUGUUUUGCAUGUGUAAAACUGUCUUACACCCGUUGUAUGUGAACGUAAGGAUCUAUCACACCCGAUCAUCACGUGGUGCUUCGAAACGAUGAACUUUAGCAACGGUGCACAGUUAGGGGAGAACACUUCUUGAAAUUGUUGUAAGGGAUCAUCUUAUUUACUACCAUCGUUCUAAGUAAACAAGAUGCAUAAACAUAAUAAACAUCACAUGCAAUUAUAUAGUAGUGACAUGAUAUGGCCAAUAUCAUAUAGCUCCAUUGAUCUCCAUCUUCGGGGCUCCAUGAUCAUCUUGUCACCGGCAUGACACCAUGAUCUCCAUCAUCAUGAUCUCCAUCAUCGUGUCUUCAUGAAGUUGUCACGCCAACGACUACUUCUACUUCUAUGGAUAACGCGUUUAGCAAUAAAGUAAAGUAAUUUACAUGGCGUUCUUCAAUGACACGCAGGUCAUACAAAAAAUAAAGACAACUCCUAUGGCUCCUGCCGGUUGUCAUACUCAUCGACAUGCAAGUCGUGAAUCCUAUUACAAGAACAUGAUCUCAUACAUAACAAUAUAUCAUUCAUCAUUCAUCACAACUUCUGGCCAUAUCACAUCACAUGACAAUUGCUGCAAAAACAAGUUAGACGUCCUCUAAUUGUUGUUGCAUCUUUUACGUGGCUGCAAUUGGGUUCUAGCAAGAACGUUUUCUUACCUACGAAUAACCACAACGUGAUUUUGUCAACUUCUAUUUACCCUUCAUAAGGACCCUUUUCAUCGAAUCCGCUCCAACUAAAGUGGGAGAGUCAGACACCCGCCAGCCACCUUAUGCAACUAGUGCAUGUCUGUCGGUGGAACCGGUCUCACGUAAGCGUACGUGUAAGGUUGGUCCGGGCCGCUUCAUCCCACAAUACCGCUGAAGCAGGAAAAGACUAGUAGUGGCAAGAAAGUUGACAAGAUCCACGCCCACAACAAAAUUGUGUUCUACUCGUGCAAUAGAGAACUACGCAUAGACCUAGCUCAUGAUGCCACUGUUGGGGAACGUUGCAGAAAAUUAAAAUUUUUCCUACGGUUUCACCAAGAUCCAUCUAUGAGUUCAUCUAAGCAACGAGUCAAGGGAGUGAGUUUGCAUCUACAUACCACUUGUAGAUCGCGUGCGGAAGCGUUCAAGGGGAUGGUGAUGAUGGAGUCGCACUCGCCGUGAUUCAGAUCACCGAUGACCAAGGCUGAACGGACAGCACCUCCGCGUUCAACACACGUACGGGACGGACGACGUCUCCUCCGUCUUGAUCCUGCAAGGAGGAAGGUGGAUGCAGCAGAACUCCGGCAGGGCUUCGCCAAGCUGCUGCGGGAGGAGGACGAGGUGUAGCAGGGGGAGGGAGGCGCCAAUGCACAGGGUUGCGGCUGCCCUCCCCCUUUCCCUCCUUUAUAUAGGCCCCAGGGGGCGCGCCGGCCCUGGGAGAUUCAAUCUCCCAAGGGGGCAGCGGCCAGGGGGGUGGAGUGCCCCCAAGGCAUGUGGUGCGCCCCCCACCCCACCCUAGGGUUUCAACCCUAGGCGCAGGGGGUGGGCCUAGGGGGGUGCACCAGCCCACUAUGGGCUGGCUCCCCUCCUACUUCAGCCCAUGGGGCCCUCUGGGAUGGGUGGCCCCACCCGGUGGACCCCCGGGACCCUUCCGGUGGUCCCGGUACAUUACCAGGUGACCCCGAAACUUUCCCGAUGGCCGAAAUACCACUUCCUAUAUAUAAUUCUUUACCUCCGGACCAUUCCGAAACUCCUCGUGAUGUCCGGGAUCUCAUCCGGGACUCCGAACAACAUUUGGUAUGCUGCAUACUCAUAUUCAUACAACCCUAGCGUCACCGAACCUUAAGUGUGUAGACCCUACGGGUUCGGGAGACACGUAGACAUGACCGAGACGACUCUCGGGCAAUAACCAACAGCGGGAUCUGGAUACCCAUGUUGGCUCCCACAUGCUCCUCGAUGAUUUCAUCGGAUGAACCAUGAUGUCGAGGAUUAAACAACCCCGUAUACAAUUCCCUUUGUCAAUCGGUACGUUACUUGCCCGAGACUCGAUCGUCGGUAUCCCAAUACCUUGUUCAGUCUCGUUACCGGCAAGUCACUUUACUCGUACCGUAAUGCAUGAUCUCGUGACCAACCACUUGGUCACUUUGAGCUCAUUAUGAUGAUGCAUUACCGAGUGGGCCCAGAGAUACCUCUCCGUCAUACGGAGUGACAAAUCCCAGUCUCGAUCCGUGUCAACCCAACAGACACUUUCGGAGAUACCUGUAGUGCACCUUUAUGGUCACCCAGUUACGUUGUGACGUUUGAUACACCCGAAGCACUCCUACGGUAUCCGGGAGUUACACGAUCUCAUGGUCUAAGGAAGAGAUACUUGACAUUGGAAAAGCUCUAGCAAACGAACUACACGAUCUUGUGCUAUGCUUAGGAUUGGGUCUUGUCCAUCACAUCAUUCUCCUAACGAUGUGAUCCCGUUAUCAACGACAUCCAAUGUCCAUAGCCAGGAAACCAUGACUAUCUGUUGAUCAACGAGCUAGUCAACUAGAGGCUCACUAGGGACAUAUUGUGGUCUAUGUAUUCACACGUGUAUUACGAUUUUCGGAUAAUACAAUUAUAGCAUGAAUAAAAGAUAAUUAUCAUGAACAAGGAAAUAUAAUAAUACUUUUAUUAUUGCCUCUAGGGCAUAUUUCCAACACGCAGCAGUCGAGAUGGAUGGGUUGCGGGAUCCGGGCAAGGGCAUGCGUUCCGCGGAGCGGGUAGUGGGGUUGGGGUCGGCAGGUGAUUGGUUGCAUGCGGGAGCGGUGGAGCGCGGUUGGUGGGGAGCUGGCUGGUGCGGUUGGUGGGGCCAGUACGAGGUAGGUGCGGGCGGUGGAUCCGAGAGAUCGGGUGGGGAUCGUUGCGAGGUGAGCGGAUUGGGUGCGGACGGGGACGGCGUGGCCGAUGGUGUGGGCGGUGCAUAAGGGAAUGAAGUUUCGUCAAAAACGACAUGCCGUGAGACUAUAACGAGAUGCAUGGAGAGAUCAUAGCACCUUACCCGUUAUGUUCGAGUGGAUAUCCUAAGAAAAUACACCGUGUCGAACAAGGAGAAAGUUUGUGAGGCAUAGUAGCGCAGGUGUUUGGAAAACAUAAGCAUCCAAACACAUGGAGGUGAUCAUAAGAUGGAUGAGCGUCAUGGAGAAGAAAGUAAGAGGUAUGAUCGGCGAUGGCAUGAGAGGGACGACGAUUUAGUAGGUAGGUGGCGGUGUGGAGGGCCUCGACCCGGAAGGGAGGAGUGAGGUUGGCUUGGAGAAGGAGAGAGCGUACGACAUCAUUGGUGAUGCAAAUGAGACGCUCCGCUUUGCCGUUUUGGGGAGAGGUGUGAGGGCAAGAAAAUCGAUAGACUAUGCCAUUGGCAGAGAAGAAAGAACGAAGGGACGAGUUAAUGAACUCCCCUCCAUUGCCGCAUUGCAUGGAUUUGAUAAUAACAUUGUAUUGUGUGUGGAUGAAGGUGAAGACACGUGCUAAUGUGGUGGAUGUGUCCGAUUUGUUGCGCAGAGGAAAUGUCCAAGAGUAGUGGGUGAAAUCAUCGAGCACAACAAGAUAAUAUUGAAAACCAGAGAAGCUUACAACGGGAGAGGUCCACAAAUCACAAUGUAUUAAAUCAAAGGGUGCAAAGGUUUUGCUAAAAGAAGAAGAAAAAGGAAGACGCGCUUGGCGUCCUAGUUGACAAGCAUUACAUGGAAUGUGUGCACUUUAAUUACAUGAAUUAAGGAAGUCGUUCGCGAGGGUAGACAUGGAGUGUGCGCCGGGGUUCCCAAGUUGACGAUGCCACAAGUCCGACGUGGAGACGGUGAACGCCGACGGUGGUGAAGGGUUAUUGUCGUGGAAGGGGUAGAGGUCACCGUUGCUAACGGAGAUCAUGAGAACCCUCCGAGUGCAAAGAUCCUUCACAAGAAAACCGCAAGGGUAAAAUUCAAUGGAGUGAGAAUUGUCUUUAGUAAAACGACGAACGGAAAUUAAACUAGUGACAACAUGAGGAGAGACUAGAACAUCGGUGAGGCGAAAAUUGUUAGGUGGAAGAGUGGUAGAGCUAGUGGUCGUGACAGGUAGGUGGUGCCCAUUGCCAACAAGUAUGCUAGAAGGAAUGUGCUUUAAAGAAUAACUAGACCGAGUUAUGUUACCUUGGUUGCCGGUCACAUGAGAGGAGGCGCCACUGUCGAAGUACCACUCGGGGGAAGGAGCGGACGGGAAACCACCGUUGCUGUAGGCGGCGUUGAGCAUGGCGGCGUGUUCCCAUGACAACGGAGGAUGCGAGUAGAAUGGAGCAGUGGGUGCCGCGGGCGCAUGGAGGAGCGAGUAGGCCUGCGCAUGCUAUCCGAGGCGCAAACCAAGAACGUCGGCGGCGUCCGGGGGGAUCCAGCUGGAGCGCGGGAAGGGAAGCGCCAUCCCAUAGGGCGCGAAGUAGCCGGUGAAGGGCGAUGCUGGGAGAGGAGCGGGAUGGCCGCGUCCAUUGUUGUCUCCAUGCCCACGGCCGCGGCCGCGACCUCAGCCACGGCCACCGCGAUCACCACCAUCGUGAUCACCACGCCCACGACCAGGGUGCGGGGGCGGUUGCGGGGGGAGCGACCGGCGCGCCUGCAGGGGGGCGAUCCGCACGAUCGCUCGGGGCACGGCCGCCCGCGCUUGAGCCGGCACCAGAGGCACCGCCACUCGUCAGGGCAAACACGGAGGCGCUCUCUUCAGCCGCGCGCUGCUCCUAGGACUCUUCAUCCAGGACGAUGCCAAAGGGCAGGUCCUAAUCACCAAGGACGACCCGGAUCAUGUCGAGCCGCUUGUCGAGGCCGUGCAGGAACUGGGUGGUGAGAUCCACCUCGGUGGCGGCGCGGUCGAUGUCGGCGAGGGCGUCGGUGAGGAGUUUCAUCCGGCGAGCGUACUCGGAGACGAACAGAUCGCCCUGCUUGAGGUUGCGGUACUGGCGGUUGAGGAUCAUGAAGCGAGCGGCGCGAUUUGCGAGGAAAUAAUCACGGAUCUUGUUCGAGAGGGCGAAGGUGGUGGUGGCGCCGACGACAUGAUCACACAUGGUGUCCGAGAGAGUGGCGUAGAUCCACAGAACGUCGUGGGCGUCGAGCUUGAGGUAGGUGGCGGAAGCGUUGGGUGGCGGCGGGUGUUCGAUGAGGAAGGAGACGCCAUAGCAGGCGAGGACCAUGAGGAAGAAAGUAUUCCAUUUGUGGUAGUUGUGAUCAGCAGGGUUGAGGAGGAACUUGAUGUGGUUUGUGAUGUGAUCCUGGAAAAUAGGGAGGCGAGGGGCGGGCGCCGGAGGAGCAGGGGGGACACCGGCGUUGAAUAGGAGGGCAAAUUGAGUGCCCGAGAUGGGGAAGGAGCCGCUGAGAAGAGAUGGGGAGGUGCCAAAGAUGAACGGCGGGGAGGAAGCAGUGGAGGUGGCCGCAACAAGAGCCGUCACGAAAGGCGACAGCGAGCCAGGGGAGGUGGCGGAGCUCGUGGCGGCGGCGGUGGAGGGGGAAGUCGCGGCCAUCAGGGCGCCUGGUUACUGAUACCAAGUUGGAGAGUUGUUUUGUAUUCACUGCUCAACUGAGUUACAAGGUACAGAUUAUAUCCCUGCAGGAAAAGAGCCAACACUCCUGAAAACAAGGCACGCAGGCCAGAUCCUACAAAGUAGGAUUGGAGUCAGUUUACACAACUCAACGUUACAAUUACACAGUACACGUUUAAGACUUGAUGCACACUCCGGGUGCAGCAGGAGGUUUUGGGUGGCUGGGUGCGAAGAAGUGAGUGCCAGAAAGGACACCAUAGCUACUCCAUCACACACCGACUAAUGUCCUGGCAGACAACGGUUGAGAAUCAUCAACGAGUCAUUUGCUUGCACCCGGACUGAUGUUGUGCGAGAGCCCGACACCCACCCACUAUGAAGUAGGCAAAAGAGCACUGAAAUCGGCUACAUCCCGCGGCGGCGGAAAGGCGAGCAGACAUCCUAUAAGAAAAUAGGAAAAAAAUCAUUUCUAAAAAGUAUAACUAAAAGGUCAAAUUAAACUAACAGAGUAGUUCGAUGUUUACAAAAAAUUUGGACUUCUCCGGUUUCUGAAUUGAAAAACCAAGAAGUUCAAAAGAAAAUAACUGAGUAGUUUGAUGUUUAUAGAAAAACGGAUUUUCUUAGUUUCUAAAAAUAAAAGAAAAAUGUUUAAAUUAAGGUAACACGGUAGUUUGAUGUUUAUUAAAAAACUAAAUUUAUUUGUCCAAAAUACAAAAAAACGACAGUGUGUAUGGCAUUUUUAAAACUACUCAUAAACACUGAUUUUUUUAAGAAAAUAUCUACAUGAAAAAGUUUCUCCUAUUCAUACGCUUUACCGAUAAAAGGUUCAUUAGUUUUGUGUAUACUGCUCAAAACCAGUUUAUCCAUAUUACAAAAGUACUCUUAAACCGUCGUGAAUUUAAAAAAAAUCAAACAAAUUUUUUGCUCCGUUUUAACAAUUUUCCAACAGUGUGCCAUUUGCUCAAUUCCAAUGAACACUUGAGAAGUUGCGUCCAAAAAACCAACGCAGAAAACAGAAUGAAAUUCAAACAAAAGUGCCUCAAAGUUCAAAGUCUGCAAGAGUGCAUUUUGAACAUUUUGUUUUCAUGACCAACAUAGCACCCAUGAUAUUAUUAUCAAAAAGUACUCUAAACCAGUUAAGAAUUAGAGAAAAGAUUCUAUAUGAAAAAGUUUUGCAUUUUCGGUAGCUUUCCAACGAUAUGUCAUUUGCCGCAUUGAAAGAAAGUAUUUAAAAGUUUCGCUUUCAAAAAAAUUCUGCCAAAUCCAAAAUUUUCUUUAAACCAUACAGAAUUUGGAAGAAAGCUAUAUACAAAAAGGUUUGCAUUGACACCAUCAGUCCAAUGUCAUACCAUUUGCUACAUUCUCAUGGACCAUGACAAUGAUGAUUCAAAAAGGUGAUUGCACAAAAAGCACCGGGGACCUUCAGAGCUCAGGCUACGGCGAUCCUGAUCUUAUCUCUCUCCUCCCCGCCCCUCCCCUCCCCUCCGUCGCUCCCCGCGCGGGCGACCGAGGGGCUCCAACCCUAGCCGCCGGGUCAUCGCUCCUUCCUCUCCCUCCUCUCCGUCGCCGCUGGUGGUCGGCGAUGGGCAUAGCCUGUGCAUGCGACGACGGCGGCCGAGGCACUCCUCCCUCAUGCGGGUCAUAGGGUGACGUGGUGCGCCCUGGCUCAAGGGUGUGACCCCAAUCUGGACUGCGGCAGCGCCGAUAUGGUUCAUGGCGGCCCAGAUUUGGACGGCGGCGAUGUGGCGGCCGACCGCGUCCUAAUGGCGGUUGUGGUGGCAGUGUUGGCGACGGCGAUGUCUACGGCGCGGCGGCGUCGGAGGCGGCGCGCGCUACGGGCACGGCGGCCUACCCUGUUUGGGGGGCGCCGAUGCUGCGGUUGGCGGCAUCGGAGGCGGCGCGGGCUAUGGGCACGGUGGCCUACCCUGUUUGGGCGGCGCCGGUGCUGCGGUCAUCGGCGGCGGCGGUGGGCCAUCUGCCUUUGGACCGGCGGCGGCGAGGAGGGACUGGUGGUCGCGUCGGUGGCACCUCCGAUUAGAUCUGUUCUGACAGGUGCAGCUGGCGGUGGUGGUCAUCUCUUCUGUCAGAGGUGGCCGGCUGAUAUGUCUCCAUCGUAUCUAUAAUUUUUUAUUGUUCCAUGCCAAUAUUAUUCAACUUUCAUAUACUUUUGGCAACUUUUUAUAUUAUUUUUGGGACUAACAUAUUGAUCCAGUGCCCAGUGUCAGUUCCUGUUUGUUGCAUGUUUUAUGUUUCGUAGAAAACCCAUAUCAAACGGAAUCCAAACGGGAUAAAAACGGACGGAGAAUUAUUUUGGAAUAUUUGUGAUUUUUGGGAAGUAAAAUCAACGCGAGACGGUGCCCGAGGUGGCCAGGAGAUAGGGGCGCGCCCCAGGGAGGCAGGCGCGCCCUGGAUCUCCUGGGCUCCCCGUAAGGCGGUUGACGCUCUUAUUUUGCCGUAAGAAAGCUAAUUUUAUGAGAAAAAACUGGGCGAAAGAUUUACCCCAAUCGGAGUUACGGAUCUCCGGAUAUAAAAGAAACGGUGAAGGGGCAGAAUCUGGGAACGCAGAAAGAGAGAGACAGAGAGAUAGAUCCAAUCUCGAAGGGGAUCUCGCCCCUCCCAAGCCAUGGGAGCCAAGGACAAGAGGGAAAACCCUUCUCCCAUCUAGGGAGAAGGUCAAGGAAGAAGAAGAAGAAGACGAAGGGGGGGGCUCUCUCUCCCUUGCUUCCGGUGGCGCCGGAGCGCUGCCGGGGGCCAUCAUCAUCACCGCGAUCUACACCAACACCUCCGCCAUCUUCACCAACAUCUCCAUCACCUUCCCCCCUCUAUCUAAAGCGGUCCACUCUCCCGCAACCCGUUGUACCCUCUACUUGAACAUGGUGCUUUAUGCUUCAUAUUAUGAUCCAAUGAUGUGUUGCCAUCCUAUGAUGUUUGAGUAGAUUUUCGUUGUCCUAUUGGUGGUUGAUGAAUUGCUAUGAUUGAUUUAAUUUGCUUAUGGUUAUGUUGCUGUUCUUUGGUGCCCAUCAUAUGAGCGCGCGCGUGGAUCACACCAUAGGGUUAGUUGUAUGUUGAUAGGCUAUGUAUUGGAGGGCAAGAGUGACAGAAGCUUCAACCUAGCAUAGAAAUUGAUGCAUACGGAAUUGAAGGGGGACCAAUAUAUCUUAAUGCUAUGGUUGGGUUUUACCUUAAUGAAUGUUAGUAGUUGCGGAUGUUUGCUAAUAGUUCCAAUCAUAAGUGCAUAGAAUUCCAAGUCAGGGAUGACAUGCUAGCAGUGGCCUCUCCCGCAUAAAACUUGCUAUCAGUCUAGUAAAGUAGCUUAGGGACAAUUCCGCAACUCCUGCCACCACUUUACCACACUCGCUAUAUUUACUUUAUUGUUUAUUUAUCUAAACAGACCUUAGUUUUUAUUUACGCGUUCUUUAUAUUCUUGCAAACCUAUCCAACAACACCUACAAAGUACCUCUAGUUUCAUACUUGUUCUAGGUAAAGCGAACAUCAAGCGUGCGUAGAGUCGUAUCAGUGGCAGAUAGGACUUGAGAGAGUAUUUGUUUUACCUUUAGCUCCUCGUUGGGUUCGACACUCUUACUUAUCGAAACAGGCUACAACUAUUCCGUAUACUUGCGGGUCAUCACCGGCCUGUGGCUGGGUGGUCGGAUCUUGAGAUUCGUCAUCUAGUCUCAGCUACGAGGGGGGAGACAUAGUUGCCGGUGAAAACUGAGCCAUUGGCGGGCGAUGACGGCGUUUUGCGCCGUUACCUUGAUGAAGGCAUCGUCAUGUAACUGUUGUCGACCCACUCGUGCGGCUUCGAGGAAAACCCUAGGACCUGGUCUUCCAGAUCGGACGAUGGAGGUACUACGGUGUCGUUUCUCUCUUGGGAGUAUCGUUUGUGGAGCAUCGCUGGAAGACAGAUGCAGGAGGUAGAGCGGCUUCGUCUUGCACGGAGCUUCGAUGGAGCUGUCAAGUCAUGUCUGUCCGACAGGUGCUACGCUGAGUCAUGCAUGGUUGGUAGGUGCUAUGCACGACAGAUCUUCCAGAGUCUUCGUGUCUGGACGGACGAGCGCAGGGCGGUGGCGCCGUGGUGGCGUCGACGGAUGUCCGGACUGGCAAGGAUGAUGCGGAUCUCUCUCUUGAAGAUGGGUAAGUGGUCCGAUGAUGAUGGCGACUUCUAAAACGUAUGCAUGUGGUGUGCACUUUAGGUAGGCUGCACCGGCUGCUGGUCCCGAUACGUUAUGUGGAUGGAUCGGCGACGACACUGUUUUUCGAUAUGAGGAGUGAGAGCACUCCACAUUAUCGAGUUUGUAGGUGUGAGUGGUGGCUUCGGGUGGAUUAAUGUAUGUUCUUGUUAGACCUUUGUAAAAUAAUUAAUAAAGAUGGCUGCAUGCAUCGAUUGAUGCAGAGGCCGGGGGUUUAACCUUCUUUUCAAAAACAAAAAAUCUCACGGACCAUUUAAAUAACAACGUAGAAAUACUAUCUCGUUCAAACUUCUGUCAUUUGCAAAUUACGUUUAAACCUUUUGGAAUUGUAAAACACUUUCUACAUGAAAUAUUAGAACAUUUACAAAGCUUUCCAACACCAUAUCAUUUGCAUCAUUUUGAUAAACCGUGCAGAAAUUCGCCCAAAAGUAUGAACUUGUUCGGUGGGAAAAAUUUCGCCAUUUCUAAAAUUCCUUUUAAAAUGUAGGGAUUUGGGGAAAAAAAUUCUACAUAAGGAUGAGCACAAUGGCAGCAGCUUUCCAAUGCCAUAUCAUUUGGCUCGUUCUGAUCAACAAUUUGAAAAUGAGCGCGAAAAUCCAAUCAUGUGUUUUCUAUAUGAGUAAACAUGGUAUUUUCGUAUGCUUUUAAUAUAUUUAUUUGUGCGUGCGUGUGUGUGUAAUAAUUAUAUGUAUAUAUGUUUUAAAAUAGUUAUAUUUUGGCAAUUCUACAGAAAGCGUUCAUCAUGUAUUUAAGAAUGUUCAUGGUGUACUAUAAAUGUUUAUCAUGUUCUAAAAAAAUUUCAACGUGUAUUAAAGACAUUCAUCAUGUAUCUAAUAUGUUUAUGCAUUUUAGACAAUGUCCAUCAUGUAUUAAAAAGCUCAUUGCGUACUAAAAAAUGUUUAUCGUGCAUUAGAAAAUUUUCAUCGUAAAUUAUAAAAAUAUUCACCAUGUAUAAAAAAUGUUCUCAUGUAUUAAAAUGCACAUCACGCAUUAGAAAAUGUUCACCAUAUAUUUUGAAACCAUUCAUCAAUUCAUCAUGUAUUUGACAACAUUAAUCAUGUAUAUUAAACACAUAGUGUCUUAAUAGUAUUCAUUGUGUAUUUACAAAAGAAUUACUUCUUUCUACGAAGCACACUAAAAAAGCCAAUAAAAGAAGGGGGAAAAUAGAAAGGAGAAACUGAGAAAGGAAAAUCAAAGAAGAUAAAAACAGAAAAAAAAAAAGGAAAAGGAAUAAGAAUAAAAUUAAGUAAAGAAAAACAAAAGAUCGGGCAGAGAGCUACCACCAUUGCACGGGAAGAAAAUCAGAAUGAACGACACACCGUUCAGAUGUCGCGUGAGAAGCGAACCAACCCGUGGUUGGAUGGUUAGAGGGACUGUGGUAUAUCCAGCCCACCAGGGUUCAAGUUGUCACAUCCCUAGUUCUGGCCUGACCUAUGCUUGCUUCCAUCUGUGCAUCAUGUUUAAAUUUUUGAAACUUGAACUGAGGAAAUUUGGAAGCCUCAAAACCCUAAAUAAAAGAAGGGCAAAAACCCUGAAAUCUCAUUCAUUGCUCCAAAAUGCUCCUCUUAAAUGUUUGAUAAUUUUUGGCAAGGGUUCUGGUCCCAACCAAAAUAUUGAACAUUUUUAAGGAUUUAUUUUUGGGACUUUGAAUUUAAAUCAUUAGCUAUUUGAAUUUGAAUUAUAUUCAUAUAAUUAGAAUAUAAUUUCAAAUACCCCUGAAAUAUUUUAUGAGCUUUUGGAAAAGUCCAUCUAGCAAAAUAAAAAUAUUCAGAGGAGUUUUUUUGGCAUUGUUUGAAUUUGUUUAAAUUCAAAACAAUGGCAAAAGAUUAAAUAAAAAUAAAACAGAACAGAAAAUUUAAAAAAAGAGCAGAAGGACUUACCUGGCGCCCACUUACCUGGCCCAGCUCCUCCAGCGGCCCAGCCCACCUCCUCCUCUCUGUCGUCUUCCUCCCCCUCGCCCCGAAGCUGCUCGGUGGCGAGCGCUGGCGAUGCCUCGGCCACCUCCUGCCUCCCUGCUUGCCUCCGCUAUUCCCUGGAGACGCCACGCAGCCCCUGGCUCUCUCUCACUCUCUCCCUCGCCUCAUCCUCUCCUCUGCUCUCUCUCCCUCUCUGCCCGAGCGGAGCUCGUCGCCACCGACGCCGUUCGCCGCGGCCACAGCCACCCCCUCGCUCCCUCCUCGCAUCCCUGAGCUCCGUCCCGACCCCAUGGAGCUGCACACCGACGCACGUGACCAGAGGAGGCCCCAGUCGACCGGAGCGUCGUCGUCUUCAUCUCCGGUGCCCGGAGAUCGCCGCCGUAAAUUCGCGUCGUCCAGAGCUUCCCCGACCUCGUCGUCGACUCUGCUAGUCCCUACGUGAGCUCCUCUCCAUUUCCCCCCUGUGCCCUUCCUCUAGCGCGUCCUCUAGCACCGAUUCCGCCAUGGCCGAAGCUCACCUCCGCCGAGCUCGCCGCCGGCGUAGCUCCGGUGACCAUUUGGUCACCCCGGCGAGCCCUGCGCGUUCGUAGUUUCCCGUAGAGCAUGCCUAGCACAAAAACUAGCCCGCUUGCUUCUGCAGCAUCAAACCCGUGGUCGCCCGAACUCCGGCGGCCACCUAGGUCGUCGCCGGCGCCGAUUCCGGCCGCCCCAACCCCAACCGACUCCACAGGAAGACGCGGCGCUCUUCCAGCUAUUCGUAGAGCCCCUCCCCCGUCCGUUUGGUCGCCGGAGCAAGAAACCCGAAGGCCUCCGCCGCCUCGGCCUCGCCGGCGACUCAACGCCGGCGGGAUUGACCCUACUGACCAGGGGUUUGACCUCCCCUGGGUCCAUGACAGGUGGACCCCGCCAUCAGGUGAUUAGCUUAAGCUAAUCACCACCUAAUCUAACCCCCUGACACUGACAUGUGAGCCCUAGUGCCCCUAAUCUCUAAUUAAACUAAACUAAACCCCCCUGUUUAACCCGUGUCACUGACGUGUGGACCCCACACGUCAGGUUUGACCUAGACCCGCCUAGUUGACCUGCUGACAUCAGCAUGACCUAGUGCUGACGCAAUAAAUCAUUUUCUGGAUUUAUUUUAAUUCAGGAAAUUCCAGAAAAUGAUUUAAACUUCAAAAAUUCAUAGAAAUUCAACCGUAGCUCAGAAUGAAAUAAAUUAUAUAUGAAAAAUUAUCAGAAAAAUUCAAGGAAUCCAUCUGUACCAUUUCCAUGCAUGUUAGAACAACUUAUCACUACUGUUUAGGACAAAUGAAGUGAAUGGCAUUUAAAUAAUCACAUAUGGGGUUUGAAUUUGAAUCUUGUAUUCAAACCAACCCCAUUUAACUUGUUGCUAGAUGCAUUAGCCCAAAACACAUUCAUAUUGCCAUGUCAUAGCAUGCAUCAUAUUGUGCAUUGCAUUGAUCGUGUUUCUUCUGUGUUUGCCGGUGUUGUUCCCCCCUCGGUAGACGCUGUACCGAUGAUGUGAUCGUUGACACUGAUGAAGACUCAAUGUUAUCUUCAGAAGUGCCAGGCAAGCAAAACCCCCUUGUUCAUUCCGAUAAAAUCCCACUCUCUCGCUCCUGCUCUCUUUUACUGCAUUAGGACAACAACGAUUCAUCUGUUACUUGCUGCGGUAGUUGAACCCCUUUAUCCUCUGCAUGACCUGUCAUUGCCACAGUAAAUAGAUGAAACCCACUAGCAUGAGUAGGAGUUGUUUGAGCCCUGAUGUGCCUACUCAUUCAUGCUUGUUUGUCAUGCCUGCUACUGCUUAGAGUUGAGUCAGGUCUGAUUCAUCGGGGAUGAAUCAGAGGCGUGUGAACAUGUCCUACUGUGUGUGAGCUAAGUGUGUGAACACGAUUUGGUAAAGGUAGCGGUGAGAGGCCAUGUAGGAGUACAUGGUGGGUUGUCUCAUUGCAGCCGUCCUCAGGAACUGAGUUCUGUGUUUGUGAUCCAUGAACAGCUACUACCACACAUUGGGAUCCUUAAUUGACUCUCUCGACUUAUUAAUCAACAUGAUCUCUGUCCAGGAGUUGCAACUAGUUUCUGGUGUUUGUAGGUAGUGUUAGUAGUCUACCAAGUGGCACCCGGUACAGGUGGGCUUGGGACAGACUCGGCACAGUGGCACGGUGUACCAAGUGGCACCCGGAUGGUGGGCUUGGGAACCCUGCUCACAUCGUUUGGGGCCGUGAGCGACACCCCGGCCGGAUCUCCUUGCGGAUGGAACCCGAAUAGGCGAUAAACCUGGACGAGAGACUUGUUUGGUUAGUCAGGUCGUGGCCGACUCCCUCGCCCGGCUUCCGCUUGAAGGUUGCCGAGGUACAUGACAUGUACAGGGCGAUAAGUGGCGGGAGCGUGUGUGAAGAAGUACACCCCUGCAGGGUUAUCAUUAUCUAUUCGAAUAGUCGGAUUCCUCGGAUAUGGAAACUUGGACCCCUUGCAUAGUUCAUAGACAAGUGAAAGUGGAUACUCUAAAAUACGCAAGAUAAGCGUGAGUGCUAUGGAUGGCGUUCUCGUAGGGAGACGGGAGCGGAUCCAUAGUGGUGUAUUGAUAUGGUGAAUAUGUGGACUCGUGUGCGCCACCUCAAAAGAGUUACUUGCAGUCGUAGUUCAGGUUAGCCACCGAGUCAAAGCUGGCUUGCUGCAGUUAAACUCCACCACCCCCUUUGUUGAUAAUGAUGCAUAUGUAGAUAGAUCUGAUGUAAGUCUUGCUGGGUACAUUUGUACUCACGUUGCUUAAUUUAUGUUUUUGCAGAGAGACUUCAGUCUCACUAGUAGUUCCGCGUGGACUUCGACGUUUAGCUUGAUACCUCAGCUACGAUCUUGUGCCCUCGGCAGGAUCUGGUAGAUAGUCAGGCUCCUCAGCCUUUUUCAUUUAUAGAUGUCUGUACUCAGACAUAUUAAGCUUCCGCGUGUGCUUUGAUUUGUAUGCUCUGAUUGUUGGGUCAUGAGACCCAUGUUUGUAAUAUCUCGCUCCUCGGAGCCUAUUGAAUAAAUAUUUGAGUUGUAGAGUCAUGUUGUGAUGCCAUGUUGUACUUGCACAUAUCGAGCAUAUUGUGUGUAUGUUAUUGAAAUGCUUGGUAUGUGUGGGAUCUGACAACCUAGUUGUUUAUCCUUGGUAGCCUCUCUUACCGGGAAAUGUCUCCUAGUGUUUCCACUGAGCCUUGGUAGCUUGCUACUGCUCCGGAACACUUAGGCUGGCCGGCAUGUGUCCUUCUUCGUUCCUGUGUCUGUCCCUUCGGGGAAAUGUCACGCGAUGAAUACCGGAGUCCUAUUAGCCCGCUACAGCCCGGUUCACCGGAGUCCUGCUAGCCCAGUGCUACAGCCUGGAUUCACUCGCUGAUGACCGACACGUUCGAUGUUGGGUCAUGGAUGCCUGUCCCUGUAAGUUUGUGCCACUUUGGGUUUACGACUAGCCAUGUCAGCCCGGGCUCCUUAUCAUAUGGAUGCUAGCGACACUAUCAUAUACGUGUGCCAAAAGACGCAAACGGUCCCGGGCAAAGGUAAGGCGACACCCGUGGGAAUACCGUGCGUGAGGCCGCAAAGUGAUAUGAGGUGUUACAUGCUAGAUCGAUGUGGCAUUGAGUCGGGGUCCUGACAGCGUUGGUAUCAGAGCUUGACUGCCUGUAGGAUUAGCAAGCCAAACUGGUCGAAGUGAGUCUAGAAAUUCUUUAGUUAUAUAAGGGAAUUGAUUGUGGGAUGGAACGUAAGGCUCUUUUUACUCCUUUACCUCAUGCCCUUCUGAUCUGAGUCAUCUUAUCUUUCCUACGGGGUUAAGGAACUAGGCUUUCUCUUCUUCUAUCAGGAUCACGUGUUACUUAUCCGUAGACUUAUAAGAUUGUUGGACUUAAGCCUCUGUUCAGUUCCUACUACUUCUGUAUGUUAAUUGUUGAUCUCGAGACCUUGAUAUUGUGUUUCUGAAUGGUUAUGCCACCAUUUUUGUGAAUGCCUCAAAUCUUUUCUGAGCAUUUACAGCCGUUAUGCUGUCCGAGUCAUCCCAGGUUUUCAAAGAGUCUGAUGCAUUUGCAAAUCCUUUUCCUCUGGUUUCAAUGUCUUUUUAGGCCAGGUUAAUCACACAAAUUGUUGAGUUGAGGUACUCUACUGCCUCGACCUUUAUGUUGGAGUUAUUAUUAUGACCCUAGGUGUCUUAGGGGAUCAUCUAGUAAUUUAGCCAUGAUCUGUGUUUCCAGUGUGAUGAUUCUGGCCUUUAUUCUCGAAAGCAUCCCGUGAUGCUACCUAGUAGUAGGUAUUCUAUUCCUGGUUUUUGAACCCGAGAUUCACUCUACUUACUUCAUGUUGAUAGUGUUUGCUAGUUCCUUUAGGAUAUUAGUAAAUUUGCGAUAGUCCUCGAGGUCCGUGGUAUAUCGUUCUUCCAAAUACCAUGAACCAUUAUGGCAGAAGUUUGUUGGAUCAAAAGAUCACAACAGGCCCUCUAUGAGUUCUCCAUUAUAUAUUGUGGCUCUGCCAGUUCUACCCUUCCGCAUGGAUUGCCCGGAAGAAAUAUGUUGAAUUCGUUCGACAUGCUAAACCAUGCAUCCACAACUCAGAAAAUCGUAUGUUCCUUUGAGUUGUCCCUUUUUAGUUGUCUACUGACCUUCGUCUAUCAAUUGAUAGUCAAGAGUAUGCGUGCGUUCGUUUAUCGAUGCCUAUUACUCUUGUGGUCCGUCAAGCCAUUCUAUCGCGGAAUGACUAGGAGAAACAAACUCCAGUACCUCUUCCAUAUCCAGGAUUGGGUCAAAGAAAUUGUGCUCCACAGAUCAAAUUGCUAAUCCAGCUUUUGUUCUGCUCUACCUUGGAGUAUUACCAUCUUUAUAUCGGGAUUGUUAUAGGAAUUGCACACCAUCCUAUGAACUCUUGGUAGUGAUACUUCUCACCAUCGUUAGUCAUUUCUCGGUCCCCAUGUUGUUGAACCGGAAUGCCGACAAGUGAAUCGUGAUGUGUGAAAUCAAUACUCCUAGCAACUCCGUUGCUUGGUAGUUAAAUGGACGAUAACCUCAUUCUUAGCGUGUUGAUUAUUGAAUCGUCACCCUAAGGUUGAUUGUGCUACCUAGUCCUUAUUUCGGUGCACCCUUCGAUUGAUGAGUUAGGAUCUUGUCAAGUCCUCACUCAUUUGAUCAUAUCGUCUUGCCCUCAAAAGCGAGAUUGUUCUCGAGCUUAGUAACAUACCGGUGGUUCGUGAUUUUCUGAAUAUCUUCUCGGAAGUAUUACCAGGUUGUCCCUUGACUGUUAUGUUGAGCUCGUGAUCAAGUUGGUUUAUUCCUGUAAACCACCCCUUCUCCAAGAAUCCGUGUUGGAUACCCUGAGCUAGUUGGAUAAGCUAAACAACAACUUGGAGAGUUGGAAGAAAAAAGCUUGCCUGACUUAGCUCGUUCCAAAGGGAUAUUCUUGUGUAGUGUGUGUUGAAGAAAGAUGAUAUCUUCAUCGAUUGGUCCCUGUGAUCAGUUGCUGGACCUAUUAUCUUAUCCAAUCUUUGAUUUGAGUAUGAGCUAUCGUCAAAUCAAAUCAGAACCAACGAUACUCGUAAUGUUGUCUUACUCGUGGUUUUCCUCGAGCAUACACCAUUAUAUUCUUUGGUCUGACCAAUACUACCACCGUGUUCACAUGAUGGCGGAAGUCCAGUGAUAUGGAAAUUCCGAUGAGUUACUGUUGAGCCCAUCAGCAGCAUUUUGUCUCCCCCAUGAUUCAUGUUGAACAUCAACCUAGUGUUGGAAACUUGUGUAAGCAUUUUCUUCAUGCCCCGUUCAUGAAGUAUGUGUUUGGAUGAAAGAAGUGACUUCCUUUGAUUCACGUGCAUUUGAUGUAAGUUGCCGCCGUGAAUUCGAGAAAGUCUAUUUUUGCUUCCUCUAGAAUCAUCCCAACUCAGCCAUGCACGUGCAAAGUAUUCUGUGGUCUGUUAGACUGAUCAUCUUCGUUCCAUAUGAAUUCUGUAGCACACCAAGCCACUAACUGAUUUGUUCCAGGAGAAGGAGUUCUUUUUAAGAGCUAACCCGGGCUUAAUCAAGAACUUUGAUAUCCUCGAUGAUGGUUCCCAACCAGAACUCGGUAGUGUUUUAUUAUAAGACUACCAUGUGGUCAUGCUUGUCUAGGACAGCGUGUUCACAUGUGUGUAGCAGAACCAGCUCAUGUUUUGGAGCUCGCUAUCGUAGUUCAUUUCCCGAGAAUCUCGCAACGUCAUCUCGUCGAUUUGUGUUGCAAACUUUCAUUUUUAUUCCUAGGCUCGAUGAGUCUGGAAUAUCCCGACACCAACUAGAUCUGAAUCUCAGGCAGAUAUGAUGGUUGGAACAUUUCCCAAGAACUAUAAUAUUGGCCCCUCGAUAACCGGUAAGGUGGAUGUCGUGGCCAACACACCCAGCCGGAAGACCCAUUAUUGUAGUAUCUUGAUUGAGGAAGUUGGCCACCUCCCCAUAAGGAUUUCGCAGGAUUUACCUCCGUAGUUAUUCCUUAUGGAUUCUUGUGCUCCCGAAGUCCGACCUUUACUUGAUGUUCUAGAUACCAGACCAUUUCUAUGAAUGGGAUACACUAGCACAUCAAGGAGAACAUUAGAAGCGGAGUGCUAAAUGUCUCUCGGUCGAUCAUCCAGAUUUUAUUUCCUUGGCCCCGCCAAGGGUGAAAUCUGAGAAAGUGUUAUCUUUCUUUGUAUCUGCAUCAUCCAUCAUCAUUCAUCAUGGUAGCAAGUUGUGUUGCCAGGAUCCUUGACAUGGAUAUUGGUAAAAUCUUGAUGGUUAUGGAAAUGCUCAAGUUCUUGAGAGCACGCGCAAGUGCUAGGUUUGAUCGUCGGCAUUAACUGUAUAGUGCUCUCAGUUUCCUCGGCAAUGCUAUGACCUUUUCAAACAGUGAAUUCACCCUCUAUUGUUGGGUUCUUCCCAGUUACCAGAAUCAUUCCCAGCAUUUGCAUUUUGUUCCCAGCUUGCACCGCCAAUGUGCCAUUCUACCAUGGGUCCCUUCCAUUUCCGGUGGUAAGCAAAUUCAUCCAUUACGUUGUCUUCAACAAGGUAAUCCACAUCAUCCAAGUCCAAGUAUGCCAUUCUACCGAACCCCUCUAAAUGAUCGAUUAUGAUUUGCCUUAAGCUGGUAUAAAGAGUUUCAAUGAUCUUUGAAUCAAAGGUAAUUCUUUUUGCCACUUAAGGGGAUAUUUCCACAAGUCACCUUCCCUAAGGUGCCCCGUUAUGGUAUCGUGGCAACUCAACUCCUCGCUACGUUGACAAUCGUUUACCACCUUCUUAGGUGUGGAAUUGUUGUCUACUUAGUGAACCUUCGUCAUCUGCUUCACCCCAUUCCUAUGGAUCUGUGCUUCGUCUCUCAGCUUGAGAGAUGUUGCUAUGUCUCAUUCCGUGGGUUAAUCCUGAGUUGUUCGACUUUCGAGAAGAUCGACCCUUCUAGAGUCUCCUUCUUCUCUCCAUGUCAUGUUGGCAGGAUUUCUCAGAGCAAGACUUCAAGAUAAAGAUGGUGAUUGAAUCAACGUUCAUUUGGCGUGCAACCUGGAUCGUGAAGAUUGUGUUAGGUUGCGUUCCCCAUCGUCUUACCCUACACUUGAAUCUUGGGCCGAGAUUCUUGUUUAGUGGGGGUGAGUUGUCACAUCCCUAGUUCUGGCCUGACCUAUGCUUGCUUCCAUCUGUGCAUCAUGUUUAAAUUUUUGAAACUUGAACUGAGGAAAUUUGGAAGCCUCAAAACCCUAAAUAAAAGAAGGGCAAAAACCCUGAAAUCUCAUUCAUUGCUCCAAAAUGCUCCUCUUAAAUGUUUGAUAAUUUUUGGCAAGGGUUCUGGUCCCAACCAAAAUAUUGAACAUUUUUAAGGAUUUAUUUUUGGGACUUUGAAUUUAAAUCAUUAGCUAUUUGAAUUUGAAUUAUAUUCAUAUAAUUAGAAUAUAAUUUCAAAUACCCCUAAAAUAUUUUAUGAGCUUUUGGAAAAGUCCAUCUAGCAAAAUAAAAAUAUUCAGAGGAGUUUUUUUGGCAUUGUUUGAAUUUGUUUAAAUUCAAAACAAUGGCAAAAGAUUAAAUAAAAAUAAAACAGAACAGAAAAUUUAAAAAAAAAGAGCAGAAGGACUUACCUGGCGCCCACUUACCUGGCCCAGCUCCUCCAGCGGCCCAGCCCACCUCCUCCUCUCUGUCGUCUUCCUCCCCCUCGCCCCGAAGCUGCUCGGUGGCGAGCGCUGGCGAUGCCUCGGCCACCUCCUGCCUCCCUGCUUGCCUCCGCUAUUCCCUGGAGACGCCACGCAGCCCCUGGCUCUCUCUCACUCUCUCCCUCGCCUCAUCCUCUCCUCUGCUCUCUCUCCCUCUCUGCCCGAGCGGAGCUCGUCGCCACCGACGCCGUUCGCCGCGGCCACAGUCACCCCCUCGCUCCCUCCUCGCAUCCCUGAGCUCCGUCCCGACCCCAUGGAGCUGCACACCGACGCACGCGACCAGAGGAGGCCCCAGUCGACCGGAGCGUCGUCGUCUUCAUCUCCGGUGCCCGGAGAUCGCCGCCGUAAAUUCGCGUCGUCCAGAGCUUCCCCGACCUCGUCAUCGACUCUGCUAGUCCCUACGUGAGCUCCUCUCCAUUUCCCCCCUGUGCCCUUCCUCUAGCGCGUCCUCUAGCACCGAUUCCGCCAUGGCCGAAGCUCACCUCCGCCGAGCUCGCCGCCGGCGUAGCUCCGGUGACCAUUUGGUCACCCCGGCGAGCCUUGCGCGUUCGUAGUUUCCCGUAGAGCAUGCCUAGCGCAAAAACUAGCCCGCUUGCUCUCUGCAGCAUCAAACCCGUGGUCGCCCGAACUCCGGCGGCCACCUAGGUCGUCGCCGGCGCCGAUUCCGGCCGCCCCGACCCCAACCGACUCCACAGGAAGACGCGGCGCUCUUCCAGCUAUCCGUAGAGCCCCUCCCCCGUUCGUUUGGUCGCUGGAGCAAGAAACCCGAAGGCCUCCGCCGCCUCGGCCUCGCCGGCGACUCAACGCCGGCGGGAUUGACCCUACUGACCAGGGGUUUGACCUCCCCUGGGUCCAUGACAGGUGGACCCCGCCAUCAGGUGAUUAGCUUAAGCUAAUCACCACCUAAUCUAACCCCCUGACACUGACAUGUGGGCCCUAGUGCCCCUAAUCUCUAAUUAAACUAAACUAAACCCCCCCUGUUUAACCCGUGUCACUGACGUGUGGACCCCACACGUCAGGUUUGACCUGGACCCGCCUAGUUGACCUGCUGACAUCAGCAUGACCUAGUGCUGACGCAAUAAAUCAUUUUCUGGAUUUAUUUUAAUUCAGGAAAUUCCAGAAAAUGAUUUAAACUUCAAAAAUUCAUAGAAAUUCAACCGUAGCUCAGAAUGAAAUAAAUUAUAUAUGAAAAAUUAUCAGAAAAAUUCAAGGAAUCCAUCUGCACCAUUUCCAUGCAUGUUAGAAAAACUUAUCACUACUGUUUAGGACAAAUGAAGUGAAUGGCAUUUAAAUAAUCACAUAUGGGGUUUGAAUUUGAAUCUUGUAUUCAAACCAACCCCAUUUAACUUGUUGCUAGAUGCAUUAGCCCAAAACACAUUCAUAUUGCCAUGUCAUAGCAUGCAUCAUAUUGUGCAUUGCAUUGAUCGUGUUUCUUCUGUGUUUGCCGGUGUUGUUCCCCCCUCGGUAGACGCUGUACCGAUGAUGUGAUCGUUGACACUGAUGAAGACUCAAUGUUAUCUUCAGAAGUGCCAGGCAAGCAAAACCCCCUUGUUCAUUCCGAUAAAAUCCCACUCUCUCGCUCCUGCUCUCUUUUACUGCAUUAGGACAACAACGAUUCAUCUGUUACUUGCUGCGGUAGUUGAACCCCUUUAUCCUCUGCAUGACCUGUCAUUGCCACAGUAAAUAGAUGAAACCCACUAGCAUGAGUAGGAGUUGUUUGAGCCCUGAUGUGCCUACUCAUUCAUGCUUGUUUGUCAUGCCUGCUACUGCUUAGAGUUGAGUCAGGUCUGAUUCAUCGGGGAUGAAUCAGAGGCGUGUGAACAUGUCCUACUGUGUGUGAGCUAAGUGUGUGAACACGAUUUGGUAAAGGUAGCGGUGAGAGGCCAUGUAGGAGUACAUGGUGGGUUGUCUCAUUGCAGCCGUCCUCAGGAACUGAGUUCUGUGUUUGUGAUCCAUGAACAGCUACUACCACACAUUGGGAUCCUUAAUUGACUCUCUCGACUUAUUAAUCAACAUGAUCUCUGUCCAGGAGUUGCAACUAGUUUCUGGUGUUUGUAGGUAGUGUUAGUAGUCUACCAAGUGGCACCCGGUACAGGUGGGCUUGGGACAGACUAGGCACAGUGGCACGGUGUACCAAGUGGCACCCGGAUGGUGGGCUUGGGAACCCUGCUCACAUCGUUUGGGGCCGUGAGCAACACCCUGGCCGGAUCUCCUUGCGGAUGAAACCCGAAUAGGCGAUAAACCUGGACGAGAGACUUGUUUGGUUAGUCAGGUCGUGGCCGACUCCCUCGCCCGGCUUCCGCUUGAAGGUUGCCGAGGUACAUGACAUGUACAGGGCGAUAAGUGGCGGGAGCGUGUGUGAAGAAGUACACCCCUGCAGGGUUAUCAUUAUCUAUUCGAAUAGCCGGAUUCCUCGGAUAUGGAAACUUGGACCCCUUGCAUAGUUCAUAGACAAGUGAAAGUGGAUACUCUAAAAUACGCAAGAUAAGCGUGAGUGCUAUGGAUGGCGUUCUCGUAGGGAGACGGGAGCGGAUCCAUAGUGGUGUAUUGAUAUGGUGAAGAUGUGGACUCGUGUGCGCCACCUCAAAAGAGUUACUUGCAGUCGUAGUUCAGGUUAGCCACCGAGUCAAAGCUGGCUUGCUGCAGUUAAACUCCACCACCCCCUUUGUUGAUAAUGAUGCAUAUGUAGAUAGAUCUGAUGUAAGUCUUGCUGGGUACAUUUGUACUCACGUUGCUUAAUUUAUGUUUUUGCAGAGAGACUUCAGUCUCACUAGUAGUUCCGCGUGGACUUCGACGUUUAGCUUGAUACCUCAGCUACGAUCUUGUGCCCUCGGCAGGAUCUGGUAGAUAGUCAGGCUCCUCAGCCUUUUUCAUUUAUAGAUGUCUGUACUCAGACAUAUUAAGCUUCCGCGUGUGCUUUGAUUUGUAUGCUCUGAUUGUUGGGUCAUGAGACCCAUGUUUGUAAUAUCUCGCUCCUCGGAGCCUAUUGAAUAAAUAUUUGAGUUGUAGAGUCAUGUUGUGAUGCCAUGUUGUACUUGCACAUAUCGAGCAUAUUGUGUGUAUGUUAUUGAAAUGCUUGGUAUGUGUGGGAUCUGACAACCUAGUUGUUUAUCCUUGGUAGCCUCUCUUACCGGGAAAUGUCUCCUAGUGUUUCCACUGAGCCUUGGUAGCUUGCUACUGCUCCGGAACACUUAGGCUGGCCGGCAUGUGUCCUUCUUCGUUCCUGUGUCUGUCCCUUCGGGGAAAUGUCACGCGAUGAAUACCGGAGUCCUGUUAGCCCGCUACAGUCCGGUUCACCGGAGUCCUGCUAGCCCAGUGCUACAGCCUGGAUUCACUCGCUGAUGACCGACAUGUUCGAUGUUGGGUCAUGGAUGCCUGUCCCUGUAAGUUUGUGCCACUUUGGGUUUACGACUAGCCAUGUCAGCCCGGACUCCUUAUCAUAUGGAUGCUAGCGACACUAUCAUAUACGUGUGCCAAAAGACGCAAACGGUCCCGGGCAAAGGUAAGGCGACACCCGUGGGAAUACCGUGCGUGGGGCCGCAAAGUGAUAUGAGGUGUUACAUGCUAGAUCGAUGUGGCAUUGAGUCGGGGUCCUGACACAAGUCCUGGUGCUCGCAUUUAUUUCUGGAUUUAUUUCAGGAUUUCCGGCGAUGCGCAUUCAGUAGGAGAAGACGUUCCGUCGACGACGAGGUGCCUACGGUGACUUCGUAAAUUUCAAGAUGAUAUGCUGGCUUUGUAUUUCGGAGCUACUCAUAGGGGUAGAGUGUGCGUGUGUGCAUUCAUAUGGGUCAGUGUAUGCGCGUGUGUAUGAGCGCUUGCGUCUGUACUAUGUUUAAAAAACAAAUAUCUCGCUUGAGAAAAACACUCCGUGCUGCUUCCUUACUUUUUUUUUUUGAGAAUUUGCUACAUGCUUACUAGGUCGGCAUAUACAAGAGGCAAACGCGCUGCAGGCAAGUGUAUGAUUUCAUGGCAGCAAACGAUAUAUAGCCCUAGCGGUCGGUCCGGGCCUUCUUUUUAUGGAGGAAGGCAUCGGCCUUUGAGUGGCACAAGGGCCUUGUUUGUAGGAAGGACUAAGCCCACUUUCAUAUUAUGUUCCAGAAAUAUUUUGAAAUCAGAGUACUCCUCCUCCGUGUCCCUAGCACAUGCUAGUGAGAGAGCACUCACGCGCCCUGCACGCUGCUCAGUUGUACUGUUGACCAAUUGACCAUUGACUUUUAAAAACAAUAAAAUGAAAAAAUAUAUGAAUUGAAAGAAAGUUCAUGGAUUCUAAAAAUGUUCAUGGGUUUGACAGAAGAUCACAAAUCUGAAAAAGGUUGCAGAUUUUGAAAAUUUUCAUAGAUAUGAAACAAAGAUAAUAAAUUUUAAAAAAUUAUCAGGUUUGAAAAAGUUAACUAAUGCAAUAAAAGAUUGCGAAUUUUGUGAAAAAGAUAAUUGAUUUUGAAAAAUGUUCAUGUUUUUUUCAGUUCAUGAAUUCAGAAAAGAAUGCGGGUCCGAAAAAUGUUCACGAAUUAAAAACACAAAUUAUAAAAAUUUCUUAAUUUUUUAAAAAGUCAAUAAUUUCUAAGAAGAAAACAAAAAAUAGAAAAAGAAAAGGCCAGAAGAAACCACCGAUAAAAAGCAGAUGAACCUUCUACAAUUCUCAAAACUAAUCAGGGGAUAUUGGGCCGGCAGCCCACUUACGUCCCAGCGAACCAGGGUAUGUGUGCAUUCCAUGUGUAACACUUCGUUUGGCGCUACAAGCACCAGAAAGGAAGUGGCUCAAAAUCGGAAAUGGCCACAUGGGCCGGGUCUGCUAUAAAAAUGCCUAGCAUGGCAUGUCCCGUGUUGGCCCUUUUAUAAAAGAGUCAUGUCGUGCAGGCUCGAAGGCCUGACCAUGGAGAUCGAUGCCGCAUGCGAAGCAUAAGGGUGGAAAAUCCUAUUGGCCGCUCGUUGCUGCAAACUGCCGGCGCUUCGCACACAGCGAGCAACCGAGCGAUGCUUUUGGCCCGGCCCACUUACGUACGUAGCAUACAAACUGCCCUCUCCGGUGUUAUGAACCUUCUAGAAGGUUCCAUGAACCGUUUUUUUUCUUUUAUUGGUUUUCCACUUUUUUUUCACUUUCCUGAUUGUUUUUUCGUUUUCUGUUUUUUUUCAUUUUUUCAUUUUUGUUACCUUUUCUUUUUCAAGUUUCUUUUUCUUUUUCAGAACAUGUUUGCAGUUUUACAAAAAGAAAGGAUUUUCUUUGUUAUUUCUUUUUCUUUUAUUCUCUUUUUUCUACAAAAAAAAUCAAAGUUUUGAAAUAUUGUUCAUGUUUUCUAAAAAUGUUCAGCUUUUGAAAAAAUGUUCUCAAAAUUCAAAAAUUGUUCUCGUUACACAAAAAAGUUCAAAACUUUCGAAAUUCCAAAAAGUAGCAGAUUUCAAUAUUUUUGUUCACUUUUUGAAAAAAUGUUCGCGCUUCCAAAUUUGUUCAGGAUUUUUCAAAAUUGUUCUUCGUUUCAAAAUUUGUUCUCAAGAUUCAAAAAAUGUUCAUGCUUUAAAAAAUUGUUCGCGCUUCCAAAUUUGUUCGGGAUAUUUCAAAAUUGUUUUCCAUUUCAAAAUUUGUUCUCAAGAUUCAAAAAUGUCUGUGGUUGAAAAUAUCGUUGGCGCUUCCAAAUUUGUUCUCAAGAUUCAAAAAUGUUUCUUUUUCUUUUUCAGAACAUGUUUGCAGUUUAACCAAAAAAAAGGAUUUUCUUUGUUAUUUCUUUUUCUUUUCUUCUCUUUUUUCUUCAAAAAAAUCGAAAUUUUGAAAUUUUGUUCAUGUUUCAAAAAACGUUCAGCUUUUGAAAAAAUGUUCUCAAAAUUCAACAAUUGUUCUCGUUACACAAAAAAGUUCAAAACUUUCGAAAUUCAAAAAAUGUAGCAGAUUCAAUAUUUUGUUCACUUUUUUUAAAAAUGUUCGCGCUUCCAAAUUUGUUCAGGAUUUUUCAUAAUUGUUUUUCCUUUCAAAAUUUGUUCUCAAGAUUCAAAAAAUGUUCGUGCUUUAAAAAAUUGUUUGCGCUUCCAAAUUUGUUCGGGAUAUUUCAAAAUUGUUUUCCAUUUCAAAAUUUGUUCUCAAGAUUCAAAAAUGUCCGUGGUUGAAAAAAUAGUUGGCGCUUCCAAAUUUGUUCUCAAGAUUCAAAAAUGUUUCUUUUUCUUUUUCAGAAUAUGUAUGCAGUUUUACAAAAAAAAAAUAGGAUUUUCUUUGUUAUUUCUUUUUCUUUUCUUCUCUUUUUUCUUCAAAAAAAUCGAAAUUUUCAAAUUUUGUUCAUGUUUUCAAAAAAUGUUGAGCUUUUAAAAAAAUGUUCUCAAAAUUCAAAAAUUGUUCUCGUUACACAAAAAAGUUCAAAACUUUCGAAAUUCAAAAAAUGUAGCAGAUUUAAAUAUUUUGUUCACUUUUUAAAAAAAUGUUCAUGCUUCCAAAUUUGUUCAGGAUUUUUCAAAAUUGUUCUCCGUUUCAAAAUUUGUUCUCAAGAUUCAAAAAAAUUUCGUGCUUUAAAAAAUUGUUCGCGCUUCCAAAUUUGUUCGGGAUAUUUCAAAAUUGUUUUCCAUUUCAAAAUUUGUUCUCAAGAUUCAAAAAUGUCCGUGGUUGAAAAAAUAGUUGGCGGUUCCAAAUUUGUUCUCAAGAUUCAAAAUCGUUCGUCCUUUAAAAAAUUUGUUCACAAAUUCCAAAAAUGUUCAUGUCUUCGAAAAAUGUUUUGGGAAAUUCGAAAUGUUUGGGUUUUAAAUUCUAUUCUAUUUUUCAAAAAACUGUUCGCGAAUUUGAAAAAUGUUCUCGUAUUCAAUUAAUUUGUCCAUUGAAAAAUGAAAUUAUGAAAAUGUUCUAAUUUUAAAAUUAUUGUUCACAAAUUUUGAAGUGGUCGCAUUUAGACAAAAUGUUCGCAAUUUCAGUUUUCUUCCUUUUUUAUUCCAAAAAAAUGUUUUCGGUUUCAUACAAUGUUCUAAUUUUUAAAAUUUUGUUCACAAAUUAUAAAAUGGUUGCGUUUCAUAAAAUAUUUACUUUUUGCCAAAAAGAAUUCACGUUUGAAUUUUUUUUAAGUAUAUCCUUUGUCGCGGUUUAUAGUUCAUAUUUAUUGGGCUACCUUUUUUGACACGAAAUCUUAGAAACUAUAGUGGCUACCUACUUGUGUUGACAGGUGCCUCGCUCACACCUUGGUUCAUCGUAAUUUUGCGUAUUCAGAUUUUAUGUUUUCUCGCUACUGUUAAUUUCUUUAGGUUCGCGCUGCCAAUUUACCAUAAGAAGUAGCUAGUUGGGGCGGUGAUGUAGGGUGGAACCCUAAUUCGUCGAUCUUUCACGUUUGGAGGGGAUCCUACGGAGGCUAAAGAACGUCAAAAUCGGACUCCGGAUGAAUUAGUUAUGACCAAAAUAAAAUUUCAGUCGUGUCAGUUUCAGGGUUAACCGGACAUCCGGGAGGAGGUCCGGAUGAUCCGGGCUUGGUCCGGAUGAUCCGGGAGGAAAUCCGGAUGAUCCGGGUUCGUCAGCGCCGGUUCUGUUUUCUGGGUGCGUGGGUUGUCCGGACGUCCGGGGGGGCGUCCAGCUGAUUCGGGGGAUGUCCGGAUGAUCCGGGAGAUGGUCUGGAUGAUCCGGGCAAGUCAAACCGCUCGGGUUUUGCUCGUGGAGACGAAUUUUUGGGCGGCAAUGGGGGAUUUAGGGGUCAAAAUUGACGAGAUUUCGUGGAUGGAAGGUGGGCAAACUUGGGGAAAUGCUAGAUCCACUUGAAACCAAGCAAAUCCACGGAUCAAAAUCAACAAAACAUCAUCAAACCAACAAAUCACAAAAAAAAUUGGGGCUAUUUUUGGUGGGGAUUUUCGGAUUUAGGACGAAAACAACAAAAUCAAGCUAGAAAACACGGGGUAGGGGCUCCAAAAACGUGAUCAACGUGGCUCAUGAUACCAUAUGAUGUAGGGUGGAACCCUAAUUCGUCGAUCUUUCACGUUUGGAGUGGAUCCUAUGGAGGAAACACGAAGAACACGCGGAAGCACAAAGAGAAACACGGGGAAAACGAGAGAGAAUCACUCAACCAACAAGGAAUCGAUCACACAAGUGCUAGAUCAACAUACACACAUGAGAUCCACAAGAUACAUAGUCAACUAGGGUAAGGAUACAAAGGAACCGUUCAUCUCCAAGAGGAGGCCUCGAAUCCACGAGGGGAUCUUCCCGUAAAGGGGUCUUGAAUCCGAAAGGAUCUUCUCCGAAGAGGCCGCGGUCUCUCACGAGGAGGAGAUCCGAUAGAUGAGCGAGGCUCUAUCUCAAAAAUGAGCUAAAUCAACGCUAAGUCUCAAAGUGAGGAGAGGGGGUCCUAUUUAUAGACUUGGGGACGAAGGGGUACAUGGGCUCAGCCCAACACGCGCACACAGGCGCUGGCCGGAUGAUCCGGACGGGGGUCCGGAUGAUCCGGGCUGGUCCGGAUGAUCCGGGUGGUGGCCCGGAUGAGCUGGAGGCCCGGCUGGUGGCGGCGACGGGCCGGAUGUCCGGCUCUAGGUCCGGAUGAUCUGGGCGGGGUCCGGAUGAUCCGGGACGGGGUCCGGAUGAUCCGGCUUCAGGUUUGAGCUUCGGGAGUCUGCGGGCGAUUUAGCCGGAUCGUCCGGGCCUGGGUCCGGAUCGUCCGGGCCGGGGUCCGGAUCAUCCGGGCAUCCUGGUCCUUGGUGAUUUUUCCUCUCCGUCUUCAUGCACGCCUUCCGCUUCCGGUUCUCCUUGCUUCCUAGCUUCUUCAGGGUCGACUCCUUGGUACCUGAGUAUGCAUAGUAUUUCCGUUUGAGGUAGUAACCAUGUCUCAUGUGAAUCGAAAGGGAAUUGUGAGAGGAGUGAUGUCACCUCGGUUUCAAGAGCUCUUGCACGUGCUCGAGUCAUAGGUCCUUGUGGGGUUGAAGGUGUUGAUGUAGAGUCCAUGGGGAUGAUGGAAGGAUGCUCCGCAUCAUAUCCCCCCCCCCCCUUGGGAAAGAUCCGACCUCGGAUCGUGAUCCUCAUCACCAUGGAAAUGGUUGUCGUAGACGGACUUGUAGUUGGACGAAGUUGAAGACAUGGUGCAAUCCGCGUAGUCCAAGGUGUCGCCGGAGUGAUAGACAUGCAAAAAGAGCAAACACAAGCAACACUCGGAAAUACAAUGGUUAGCGCACACAAAGUGUCCAUCAUGUAAGAAUGAGUCCGUGCGGCAAGAUUGGUUGUGACAAAGCGCAUGAAGCUUAUCAAAAUGAUCUAUAAUGAGAUGCAAACCAUUCAUGGGAGGAAAUGCAGUCAUUUUGCACACAAAUGUGUUGUAAAUAUGAUCAAUGCAACCACGGUGCAAAGUGAUGUCAUAGUGAGACGGUUUAUCAAUAGCAUGAAUAUGGCAAUGGAUGCUCAAUAUGUAUAUGUUAUCAUGCAAUUGAUGAUGGACAAUAUGAUCAUGAUGUAUGAAUAUGCCAUCAAGGAAGAUCACAACAAAUUUGCUAAGGAAGUGAACAAUCUCAUAUAUCAUGGAUGACAUGGUAAUACAAGAUGCAACAAGGCAAUCAUAAUGUGAGUCAAUCCAUGCAUAGGGUGCAAACUUGUGGUGAGUAUGAUAUGUCCAUCGAGCAUGACAUAUAUGAGCACAAUCAACAAAUAUGGAUGUGGGAGUGCAAGGUGUCAAAGGAGUGUUGAUGUACCAAUGCUCGAUGUCGUGGCAUGAGUGGAAUUUCGAAGGUGCAUCCAAUAAGUGCGAGCGCUCCUCAAUGUGAAGGUCCAUGUAGCCAAUCUCCAAUGUCGCUCCUCCGGUCGCGAGAUGUAUCAUGUAGACAACAAGAAGGAAACAACAAUGAAAGAGUGACCCAUCCAAUAUGCAUACUUGAGGGUGGCUCAAAGGGAAGGAGUUCACCUUAUGAAUGUUCCCGAAGAUGUCGGAGUUGCACAUCAUGUAUGACUUCACAUAACCAAGUUGUCGCAUAACGGCAUCGCCUUGUGAAACCUCCAAAAUGAAAGAACAUGACAAACACUCGGAAAAACAAAUGAGGUUAGCGGAAAUGCAAAACCUAUCAUUCGAGUGGUAAGAUACCCAACAAGUGUACACAUCAUGCUCAUCAUAAGAAAGUACAAGGGAGCGUUGCAUAGUAUGGAGGCAUAUGAUGCGAGAACAACCAAAUGCAAUAGGCUCAAUCAAACAAACAUGCAUCACAAGUAAAGUGUCCAAGUCUCCAAGAUCAAUAAGCAUAGCAAGUUGGCACUCAAUACAAGGUGAUAUGAGAGAUGCAACUAAUGGAGACAAGAGGUAAUGAUCAUGACAAAUCAAGUGAGAGACAUCAACAUCUAUGUCAUCAACCCAAGAAAGCAAGUAAUAGUGGAACAUGGGUGAUGCAACAUAGCAAGCAAUCAUAGCGAUCAAGUCAAGCAAGCUAGUAGUGCGAAGAUGCAACGUACUAGAAGGAAUCAUGGCAAUCAUGUCAUGUGUGCAAAUAGUGGGCAUGAAUAAUUCACAUGUCAUAGCACAAGCAUGAAAGCAAGAUAUGAGUAAAUUGUCAUCAAUGUAUUGGCGAGAGACCAUAUGUAAAUAGCAAUGGGGCAUCAUGACUCUCCCAACACAACAAGCAUCAAUAGUAUGGGGCACAUGAUAAACAUGGCAAUAGCAACAAGGAUCUCCACCAAGCAUGCAAAUACACAUAGAAGUAGCAUAAUGAUGAAACAUGGGUAGAUGCAAGCAAGGGUCACAAUUGCAUGGCAAAGUCAUGUAAAGAGGCAUAACAUGCAAAGUGAACACGAUAGUAUGGGCAUAAGGUGACAAGUGGUAAAUAGCCCAUAGCCGUGUGAGAGCCAAGUAAAAGAGAUGCGCGUAGUCGAUGCGCAAAGAGAACGGUGGUAAGCAUAGUCCACUGGAUCCCAAGUCAUCGUUGCUCUCGAGAGCUCGUUUCGUCAACUCUUGGGAUUGAGAGGUUGACGAGUAUACAUGAGUACCUACACAAAACAAAGACAAAAGGAAAAUUGUGUGUGCGUGGUAGAUGUACACAUCAUCCAUCAUGAUGCGCACGUGCGUGUGUUUGUUAGCACUAAAUAGCCAAUGCUCAAAUAAAUGAGAUGCGUGAUAUAGAAACAUGUCAUCCAUCAUGAUAGGUUUGUUAUUAUGUAUCGCAUAAUGGAGACUCAAAUUGUGUAAUGCAUCAUGAGAAAUAUCUAGAGCAUUGUUGUUCAUGGAAUGCAUAUGGUGCACGCAGUCAUGGGAAUCAUGCAAAGUAUGGAAUGCAUCAAGAUCUCCUAAUAUGUAUGAGGAAACUAUGGGGGUCUCCUCAUGAGCAAGAGUAGUAACAUCAUGUGGAGAAUAUUGACAACAUCCAAAACAAUGCAUAUUUGGAACAAUGUGAUCAUGGCAUGACAUAUUAGAUGAAUUGCUUAAAUCAUGUAAAGGAAGCAUGGCAAUAUCAUCACAAGAGAAGCAAAAGCCAAUGACCAUCAUCUCGUCAUCUAUGCCAUAAGUGCAAAUGGGAUUGAUUUUAAUGGGGCAUGCAUAGUUACUAUGUUGAGAUUGAAAUGAUGCAAUAUGGGAGAUCUCACUCAUAGCAUAUGACAAGUUCAAAGGAUUGUCAAACAUGAAGUGACCGAUAGAAUUUUCACAUGAUAUCCUAUGAAGCAUAGCAUCACAACUAGGCAACUCAACAUGCUCAUCAUCAUAUUCAUCACAAAUAGGUAAGUCAAGGCAUGAAGAAGUCUCACUAGCAUGAAGCAUGGGAAUAGGUGGGUCAACAUCAUGGGAGCAAUCAAUGUCAAGAGAGUCCACUAGUGGGACAAGAGAAGCACCAUCACCUAUGUUACCUUUGGAGCGUCGCUCAUGUGUUGUAGGUGAGGUGUUGAAGAUCGUCUCGUUGUCAUCUUCAUCUUGAUGGAACCAUGUGGGGGUGCAUCAUCGUCCAUCAUGGCCAUCGUCGUCUCCAUAGGAGGUAUGGACUCAUCAAUGGUAGGCGUGUCGUCAUGUAGGAGACCUAGCACCAAAGAAGAAAACACACUAGGAGUAGAGGUUAAGUCGUUAGAAAUCAUAGUGGCCUCACAUGCCGUGUCAACUACCUCACUCUCUAAGUGUUGUGGCUCACUCACUCCCUCAAGGAUGCUCUCACUCAUAUGGCUGGUGGAGUCACUCAAAUGGCGCUCAACCUCACAUAGGAUGUGUGGCAUGCUCUCAUGUGUGGGUCUAGUGGUGGUCACACUCAUCCUCUCAUAGGAAAUGCUCUCAAUGUCACGUAUGGUGGAGUCACUCAUGUCACUCAUGGGGUGGUGGCUCUCCUCACAUGGCACUUGGCGCAUCUCGACAUAUGUGGGUGUCGGAGAGAUGUUGGUGCAAAUGUCUCCAUGCUCAACUCCUAUCGCCGUAGUCGAAGGGGAUGGCCCUUGAUCGACCUUCUUGUCACCGUCUUGGUGUGGGAGGCCCAUAUGAUGUGGCACCUCGUAGCUCGCCUCCAUGACCGAAGGGAGUUUCCCAUGCUCGGCCAUCUUCCUUGAGGGGCUUCCGAAGAUGGAAGUGUCACCCUCGCUCGUAGGUGGUCGCCUUGGACUUGAUGAAGUCGAUGUAUGCGUACUCGUGGGAAGUAGGCGAAGAUGCCGUACAUUCAAAGGCGAAGAUGCCUUGAGAACACUUGGCGAAGAUGCCGAAGUGGUUGAUGUAGCCGUAGCGCCGUCUUGGUGGUGGUCAUCUCGCGGUCUUCUUUUGUGCUCUUGAAGCUUGGACUUGGCGUGAAGUAGGUCUUGUUGGGACUUGUGCAUUUGCGCUUGUGGAGCAUCUUCAUGAUGAUGAUGUCGUUGUCGUGCUUGAGCUCGUAGUAGAUGUCGUUCGUCGUCGUCGUGCACAUGAUGCUUGGAGGUGACUUGCCCUUCAUGACGAUGUUGAUCACGAACGUGAUGGUGGUCGCCAUGUAGAUGUGGACGAGGACGAUAUGCACUUGCAUCUUUUUCGCGCUCCGAAGACUUGUGGCUUGACCGUCGUCGUCUUGAGGAUGAUGAAGGGGAAGAAGACUUGAUCAAGGCUCUAAUCUCCUCCAUCCUCGCAUCUUGCUCCUCCUUUUGUGCGGCAAGCUUGUUGUCGAUGUAGUCCCUUUUCCUUGCUUCGGAGUGGAAAAUGUCGAUGGAGAGGUUCUCAAUGCGCUCUUGCAAUCUUGAUUGUGCGCCUUGCAUUUGUUGUUGUAGUCCGAAGAUGGACCUUUUGGUGAUGUAGUUGUUCACGCCGUUGUUGUUGUCAUAGACCGGAGAGGGAAUGCCUUGCCUAUCCAUCACAAGACUCGAGCAAAUAUGAGUGGGAGAAAGAGAAGAACUUAUACCAAUGUACCUUGACCGAUGUUGACAAUGAAUCAAGUUCACUCAAAUGCGGACAAUGAAAUAGCACUAUUGGUACCAAUCCUUGUUGGUUCUCACAACUACACAAGUAAAGCUUAUGGUGGAGCUCGGUGAGGAUAGUGGCACAAAAAUUUGAUGCAAAAUGUUAGCAAGAGUUAAUAAUGUUGAAAAAGAUUCACAAAUUCGCAAGUGAAACAAAUGGACCAAUAGCAAAGAAUGGCACAUGGAAACACACACACGGAUAGAUAAAUGGGGUCGUGCAACCAAGGAAUGAGCACAAAAUGUGGAAUCCACGGAAAACGCUCGUGUUGCACAACUCAAGAGAGACACUAGCACGAUUGCUCAAUAGGCGGAUACGACACUUGUGCACAACCUAUAAUAUGCAAAAUGGAUAUUCUUCUAUCCCAAGUAUGCUAUGUAUGUAUGGUUCCCGGUGUUCCUCUCAAGCAUGAUACUAUAUGAUGUAGAUUUGACAAUCUUAUGUGCAAUGGGGUAUGAUGCUAUGGCACUUGCUCACGAGCUCUUUGCUCUCUUUUUCUUGCUUAAAAGCUUUUUUUUCAAUGGCCACUUUUGCACAAUGCACAAACCAAGAUAGCAAUUGUGUAUAUGCGGGAACAAACUUGAGGCACAAUGGAUGAUAUGAUACCAAGAUGAUAUGGUAUGUAUGCAAUGGAUGGUGGAUCACUAAUGUGCACAAGUAACGUUGCCGGCAAUACUCAAAUGGCUAGUCUCGAUAGUCAAGUAACGCAAAAUGGGCUAGGGGUUAACAAUGCAAUUGCAAGGGAAUAUACAAUGGUGUCAUCGAGGUUACCGUCCUUUGUGACGAUGAGUGGCGGUGUUCUUGGUGUAGAUACCAAGAUGAUGGAGACUCGUCCCUAAGUAGCCGAAACACCUUAGGAAACGGAAAAACCGCAAACUCAAAAUCUCAAAUGACAAAUGUCAAAUGGUGGUAGCGGAAAGCGGUGGUGGUGUUGCACUAGGCAAUGCGGAAGUGGAAUGAUGGGCUAUACACGAGUCGGAGUGGAAGUUGCCGUCCCUAAGUAGCCGAAACACCUUAGGAGACACAAGCCACAACUCAAACAAAAUUGGGUUAAGUUAGGGUGGAAUUGUAUGGUGGGCAAGGUUAUGUGGAAGUGGUGGUGGUGGUUGAUGAAGAAGCAAUUGUCCCUAAGUAGCCGAAACACCUUAGGAGACUCUAAUCACAACUCAAACAACCACAUAUGCAAUGGGGAACAAAAUGGGUUAGGUUGCGGAAGUCGGUGGUGGCUAUGCGGAUGAUAUGGUGGAAGGCCUAGGCAAACUUGCCAAAUUUCAGAAAAUAUGAUGGAGUCAAAUGAUGUUGGUGGUAUUUUUGUGGGAUGGGGAAUGUCAAGAGCUUCAAAGCGAGCUAAAGAACGUCAAAAUCGGACUCCGGAUGAAUUAGUUAUGACCAAAACAAAAUUUCAGCCGUGUCAGUUUCAGGGUUAACCGGACAUCCGGGAGGAGGUCCGGAUGAUCCGGGCUUGGUCCGGAUGAUCCGGGAGGAAAUCCGGAUGAUCCGGGUUCGUCAUCGCCGGUUCUAUUUUCUGGGUGCGUGGGUUGUCCGGACGUCCGGGGGGGCGUCCAGCUGAUCCGGGGGAUGUCCGGAUGAUCCGGGCAAGUCAAACCGCUCGGGUUUUGCUCGUGGAGACGAAUUUUUGGGCGGAAAUGGGGGAUUUAGGGGUCAAAAUUGACGAGAUUUCGAGGAUGGAAGGUGGGGAAACUUGGGGAAAUGCUAGACCCACUUGAAACCAAGCAAAUCCACGGAUCAAAAUCAACAAAAUAUCAUCAAACCAACAAAUCACAAAAAAAUUUGGGGCUAUUUUUGGUGGGGAUUUUCGGAUUUAGGACGAAAACAACAAAAUCAAGCUAGAAAACACGGGGUAGGGGCUCCAAAAAUGUGAUCAACGUGGCUCAUGAUACCAUAUGAUGUAGGGUGGAACCCUAAUUCGUCGAUCUUUCACGUUUGGAGGGGAUCCUACGGAGGAAACACGAAGAACACGCGGAAGCACAAAAAGAAACACGGGGAAAACGAGAGAGAAUCACUCAACCAACAAGAAAUCGAUCACACAAGUGCUAGAUCAACAUACACACAUGAGAUCCACAAGAUACAUAGUCAACUAGGGUAAGGAUACAAAGGAACCGUUCAUCUCCAAGAGGAGGCCUUGAAUCCACGAGGGGAUCUUCCCGUAAAGGGGUCUUGAAUCCGAAAGGAUCUUCUCCGAAGAGGCCGCGGUCUCUCACGAGGAGGAGAUCCGAUAGAUGAGCGAGGCUCUAUCUCAAAAACGAGCUAAAUCAACGCUAAGUCUCAAAGUGAGGAGAGGGGGUCCUAUUUAUAGACUUGGGGGCGAAGGGGUACAUGGGCUCAGCCCAACACGCGCACACAGGCGCUGGCCGGAUGAUCCGGACGGGGGUCCGGAUGAUCCGGGCU
Molecule: long non-coding RNA, 65278 nt
Filed under: Triticum aestivum (bread wheat)
Lineage: Eukaryota; Viridiplantae; Streptophyta; Magnoliopsida; Poales; Poaceae
Description: long non-coding RNA (TAES_LNC022619)
Source: RNAcentral